UCACAACCACGGAGAUAGCUUUCAGAGACCGUUUACAUAUAUAGAAUUAUAAAAUAUAAAUCCAUAAUCAUACCAAGAUGGAUGGUAAGCAACAAAACGUUGUGUAGACGUCUAAAUCCAUAAUCAUACCAAGAUCUGGUCUUUGGCUUUAUUCAAAUUAAAGACGAGGUUUCACUGAGGUUUAAACUAUUGGAAACGGGAUUGAUGGGGUAUAGUUCAGGGGCAGAUGUAGAGGAAUUUUCAAUCCAUGAUUUAUCAGAUGGAGGAAAGAGGUCUUGUGUGCUGUUUAAACUCUGGUCUGUGACCUGCUGAUAGUGGCCUUUGACACGUUUGGAGUAUAAAUCAUCACCAUAAAUGCUAGGAUCUGAGGUUACCUCCGGGAUGCUGGUCUGUCCUUCAAGCAUGCUCACCACUUCUGACAUUGCAGGCCUUAUAGAUGGAGAAGCAUUGGUGCAUAAGAGAGCCGCUUUGAUCAUCCUCUCAGCCUCUUCCUUGUUGAAUUCAGACUGCAGCUUUGGGUCCACUAUCUCCAUUAAAGUUUCCUUUUUUUGCAUUACAUGGGCCUGUGACGACAAUUUCAAAGACAAAUAAGAAGGAAGCUAUGAUAUUUUACCAAAUGUACCAUGUUUUGCAUUGAGAACUGAUGCCUCACGCGUCAUUAAUUGAGGAUAGCAACAGAAACAGACUGACGAUGAUUUACCCAGUCAAGAAGACAAACAUUUUCGUUCUCUGGCCUGUAACUUGAGUUACUCUUUCCACAGACAAUUUCUAAGGCGACAACCCCAAAACUAUAAACAUCUGCUUUAUCUGUUAGAUAGCCCCGCAGUGCAUAUUCUGGAGCCAUAUAUCCUCUGAAAUAUAUAUAUUUAAAAAAAAAAUGCAGAAUUAGUGCCCUUCAGAGACUUGAGGAGUAUUACUAUCAAUAAACUUCACGAAUUAAAUUAGUCUCAAUACAACAUACAUUGUUCCAGCAACUCGGGUGCUAAUAUGAGUGUUCUCAUCUUCAUUGAGCUUAGCUAGUCCGAAGUCUGAUAUCUUGGCAUUUAGAUCUUUGUCCAGUAAUACAUUUGUACCUUUGAUGUCCCUGUGAACGAUCCUGAUUGCAGAUCCUUCAUGGAGAAAUGCUAAACCUCUGGCUAUUCCAACACAUAUCUUAUACCUUGUUGGCCAAUCCAGCAUCAGAGCACUUGUUUCGGAACCUGCUCCUAAUAGGAUUGUUGAUAAGAUCAUUUCAUGUUUGGUAGUUGAUGCAGUGUUCUAAAAAAUAUUUUUUACUUGAAAUUUAUCAACAAAUGCUACUAUGGUUACCAAAAAGAGCUCGAGAGAGGGAGUUGUUUUCCAUGUACUCGUACACCAGAAGCAACUGGUCUCCUUCAAUACAGCAUCCAUAAAGCCUUACAAGAUUGGGAUGCUGUAAACAAGAUAUCAUGCCUAUUUCGUUCACAAAUUCACGGCUUCCUUGCCUGGAUUUUGGAGAUAGCUGCUUAACAGCAAUAAUAGUACCGUCUGCCAAUUCACCCUGCAUUGGAAGUCAAUCACGCAUCUAAAUGCUAUAGUGUUUUUGGGGAGGAUUCACCCAUGCAUGAUUCCAAUAAUAAAAUUGUGAUAGUAUAAAAAAUUCAUUAGAUGACAAACCUUGUAUACGGAUCCAAAACCACCCUCUCCAAUCUUGUUUAUUGAAUUGAAAUUGUCUGUGGCCGCUUUUAGCUGCCUCAAGGUGAAGGAACCAGUUUUCAAAUCUAGCCCUUUAAGCUCUGCACGUAGCAGUUGGUAUGGAAGGAUGACAGUCAGGAGACAUAUCGUGAAAUAAUAGAAAUGCUUGAACAUCAUAUAACCAUGCACUAAGCGCAUUCUUUAGUGUGAUUCUCCAUUAUUUAGAAAAUUAAGAGAAGACUCAGUGUGCGGAAAUGACUGAUUUUACAAUACCUCGUUCUCUUGUGUGUUUGUCUCCAUAGUAGAGCUUCCAAUAAAUGACACCCAUUAACAAGAGAAUAAGGAAUGCUGCUGAAGUGACUACUCCGAUCACAAUAGGUUUCUUACUUGCUUCCUCAGGUUCUGACAUUAAAUAAAAUUGCAAACGCAAAGAAUGCUAAACAUCCCAUCAAAUGGAUAAUAAACAUUAACGCUGUAAAGACACCCGACCACUAUAGCACAGUUCAUUUCUCACCUUCACAAUAAGUUCUGUCACCUGAAAACCACAGAUCACGGAAAGAUUCUUAGAUGGGAUAAUGAAGUGAGUGGAAGAAGCUUACAGUUACAGUGAAAACAAAAAUCAGGCUAAUCACUUAUGCAGAUUGGUUUAUGAGAAACAUUAAAUGUGUUUAAUAUUAUCAGUUAGGGGAGGGAAAAAAAACCCAGAAAGCUCAGAAAAUUGAAAUAGAAAUGAAUUCAAUGGUGUCCUUCUACUGUAUAACUAAAACUCCUUGAAUUCUGUAAGUUUCAAAUGAGAGGCAGAAAAAGAACAUGGAACAUACCUGAACAUACGGAUAUAGCAGAAAUUAUAGGACCAUAAUUUCCUCUUCUUGGAAUGCUAGUAGUGCCUUUUCCAGCCCAGUAUAAUCGGAUCUCCAGGGUACGGUCUGUCACAGUGGUGUUGAAUGCUAUUGUGAAAUCUCUGUAAGAUCCUUUGGCUUCCUCCAUAAAGUUAAAAUCCUUUUGCACUUGUAUUCCCUGGAACAAAGUUUCCUACUCAAAAGGGUUCCUUUGAAAAAGAAAAAAAAAGGACAUCCACAAUCUCUUCGGAAGGAAAAGAUAAUUAAUUACCUGAAUGUAAAUAUCAAAAACACGGCUUGCAACUUUGUUGUACAGUUCUUCAUAUGUGAAUUCUAUCUCAGCAAAGUGGAGUAUGACAGUGUAAAUCCCAUUUUCUAGACAAUAUCCAUAAUAAGUGAUAGAUAGGGGAGUUUUACGUGCUGUUGCAUACAAUCCAAAGAAUACCACAGAAUUAUAAGAAUUUGAUUGAAGCGUAUAUCUGUUAUCAUAGAAGUUGUCAUCAUCCAUGAAAUCUCCUGUGCUGCUGAAUCCCCAGUUUGAUCCUGCUCUAUUAUAACUCCUUGCAGCAGCAUUACUUCCACUAUCUUGAUCACCUUCAUACAAGAUUUUCCCAUGCUUUACAUCUGGACCACCACAGUUUAUAUGGAAUGAACGAUAAUCUGCAGCACAUAAAACUAGUAUACCAUUAGACAUGUUUCAAUUUUCCAUUUUGUCAUACUUGUAGAAGCAUAUCAAUGGGGAAUGAGUUUACUUUACUACAAAGCUUCAAAACUAUGAUUAGUCACUGGUCAACACUUCAUCAAGUGGCUUGCCACUGUCAGAUGAGUUCAACUCAAUAAAUGACCUUCUGUCAACACGUUUUGAUGUAUAAAUUUUCCAACAUAGUGACCAUGAAUUGACCUUAUUAUUUUUUCGAGAUAGAAUCUAAUUAAAAAGCUAACAAUCAUCAAUGUCAUUCAAACAUUGAAGUACACAAAUAAAUAUGGUACAUCGAUAAGCUUUAAUGGCACACUCGAAUUUUAUGAAGUGCACAUAUUCUUAUUAUAGGGGGAAAAAAAAACAUACAUUUUGGGCACCGAGAUAUCUUUGAGCAUGGAAGAAGAUCGCUUCUGUAUAUCAUGGAAAUUAUAGUAUGUUAGAAUAAUAAAUGGUUAUGUAGAUUGAAUUCUAAGAAUCUGGUAUCAGAAAGAAGCCUCGGAAUCAGAAAUGAAAACUUGCUUAAAAAAAUUGUAUCACUCAAGGAAUAUAUUCAAGAUGUGUUUGCUCUUUGAAAAAAUGAUAAGCAUUAUACUUUGAGCAUAAAUUAAUUCUGGAUAUCCAUCUAUUCUGCUCAGGUAGGAUUUAAAGAUGUAGUAAUUGUAUUAAAAGAAGUAGGAUUCAUCUGAAGUAAUUGUAUCUGUCUCUGCAACUUUGUACUUAGAUUGCAUAUGUUGUUGUCGCAAAUAGGUACAAGAUCUUGCCAUGACUCGGCAACAUUCAAGGAAUUCUUUUGACCUUGUGGGAUUAUUUGAAAUCACAUAUAGCAAAAUCUCUAUUGCUAAAUUUCAUCUCCAGAAAUAUAAAUACGAAAAACAUUGCAGUCCACAGAGUAUAAAAGAAGAGCCUUACAAUUUAUUAUUGCUGGACGAGCUUCGAAACCAGUUUAUAUUAUUCCUGAUUUAUAAACUCAAAUCAUUCAGUUUCAAAAUCACCAAGAAUAUCCAAUUUCAAAAAUUUAUGAACAAUAUCCUUACUCGUUACUGCUGCUGCAUCUUGGUGGCCGUGAAAAGUUAUUGUACGAAACAUCACUGGAAAAGAUCAAGAAAAUCAUAAAUCUAAAUACAAACUUCCACAAGGUUAGCAAAUAAAGAGAAUAUAUAAACUUCACGAUGCAAGCACUAGAAAUGCACUAGCUUUCAUAUAAUGGUUUGUCUCAUUGAUGGUGAUGGCUUGGAUGACUAAGAUUUAAUUGUUUUUAAGGGAAAUGGUUUAUUAAUUUUAUUUAGAAUUGUUCUGCUAGAAUUGAUGGAUUAUUUAAUAGGUAUCAAUCAUAGUUUGUUUAUUUGGACAUUCCGAAACAAUGUGCCCAUGUCCUAAGCACUUGAAGCACUUGAUGUCUCGAGACCUCCUACGAUGUUGAGGUUCUGUCACCUUCUCCUUUCCCUUCAAAGAAUCAGAACUGGUAUUCCUCUUACUAAACUCCACCUUCUCAUCUUCUUUAGGUGUUCUCCAUGUUCGUGUAGGCGUAGAAACAACCCUUGUCGUGCUUGACGUAGUUACACCAGUUCGGACACCUCCUCGUUUCUGCUGCCUCUCUACUCGAGUUGCAAGCCUUAUAACUUCCUCAAGGAAGAUGUACGACUGUAAUUCAACAAUAUUAACUAUAUCCUUCCUCAACCCUCCAAGAAAUAUAGCUAUUGUUUGCUCUUGGGGUUUCAGCAAUUCACAUCGAAUCAGCAGCAACUCAAACUCUUUCACAUACUCUUCCACGCUCAAAGAUCCUUGUCGCAAAGUCUGAAGUCUGAUGUAUAGCUCCUGUUUAUAGUAAUCAGGAACAAAUCUCUUCUUCAUCACUCUUUUCAUAGUUGCCCAUGUUGUAUUCUCCUCUUCUCCAUCCCUUCUCCUCUGAAUCUUUAAGUUUUCCCACCAUAAAAAAGCAUAAUCCGUAAACUCAAGUGCCGCCACCUUGCACUUCCUUUCUUCAAAAUAUUCAUACCAUUCAAACACCUUUUCAACCUUCUAAAUCCACUCCAAGUAUUCCUCGGGUGAACUACUUCCUCUAAACGAUGGAAUCUUAAGUUUGAGACCAUUAAGAGGAUUAUAAUUCUGCCUUCUUGGUCUGCCCCUAUCAUCGGCCUCAUCAUCCCCAUUUGGAUCUCCGCCAGCUUCUAUAAUAUCAUUUUGUGGCACCCUAAGUGCUUGCCUCUGUUGGGGUUGCAAAUUAUUUCUUUGCAUCAUUUACAUAAGGGUAUUCAACUGUUCAUAAAUUCCAGUCAUUUCAUCCCGAAUCUCAGCAUGAGAUCGUUGUAAGCCCAUAACCUGCGCCUGUUCCAAACUUAACCCUCUUGGCAAAUCUUCUUUAUCUCCAGCCAUAAUUAAGUGUAUCAACCUUAAUUCUAGCAAGCCUUUCUUCUGUUUUUGGCUCCUGCCUUAGAUCACAACUGAUGCUCUGAUACCAAAUGAUGUGCCGUGAAUGAUUCGAAAAUCGGCAACAAUGAAUCUGACGAAAAUGGAUGAAGGAUAGGUCUGGUUGUGUUGUCUUUCUUUUGGUGUUUAGGCUGGAUUAUAGUGAUUUUAAGGUAAAUAAGAUGGAGGAUAGACUAGAAUGAUACUUUGAUAAGUCGAUCUGGACGCCGCAAAGAUCAAUCUAGGAUUUCGACGCCACACUCUUUAUGAUUGAAGAGUGAUAAGUCAGGUAGGGUUCUUCACAAAAUCAAUUUGGAAGAACAACUCUUAAUUCUCUGAAUUAAGUUUCAAAUCUUGGCCAAAAGUCUUUUAUUACAUAUUCUGAUACUAUAUUUAUAAUUGGAACAUCCCUCCAAAGUUAGGAAAAAUUCAACAUGGCAGAAGUCAAGUCCAAAAAACAGACUUUGACAAACUAACCUAGACAAAUUAACUAGCGCACAUUUUUUGACCUUUCUAACAUAAACAUACCAAAUUUAAAACAACUAUAACUUCUUACACAAAAAUACAAUGCAAUCAUGGUUGGACAAUCUAGAAAGAACACGUUCUAAACUUCAAAUCCACCUAGAUUAGUCUUGUUUUCACAUGCAAUGGAUGACUUCAAAUUUGGGUUCAAAUUCAUUUGUUGUUCUGACCAUAAACAUCAUCAAUUCCUUCACUUAUUUGCAUAUCAACCUAAAUUCAAGUAGCCCAGCAUCAAAAGAAUCAUUAAGGGCUUUUCCCAUAUUUAAGUUCUAAUUGUAGGCAAAUAAGUACCCUUGAACCAAUUUCAAACUGAUUGCUAAUUUUCAACUUCGACGCAGCUUCAAUCAUUCCAAUUUGACUCGUCAAGGCCCUUUAUAGUUUUUUCGCUCUCGCUCUUGUCAUUGGACCAUCUGAAUCCUCUUGUAUAUUAGAUUUAACUUUACGAGAUGGAUUAUAAUUCCCAUGAUGCACAUCAAAUUGUGGUCAUCUAGAGCUUUGACUUAUGAUGUAUCGAGGAGACAAAAUUUUCUGAUGAAGACAACUUUGAUGUGGAUUAUCAAUGAUUUUCCAACUUAUGAAAUGGUUUCUGGUUGGAGCAUUCAUGGAAAACUAACAUGUCUAUAUACUACAUGAAAAAUAACAAGGCAUUCACGCUAAUAAACUACGGUAAAACAUUUUUUUUACUGCCAUUGACAGUUUUUGCCAAUGGAUCACAAGUUGAAAGGGAUGUUGUAUUGCCUUUUCUUUCAGGUGAAGAGUUGUAUAACGUGGUGCAGAGUACGGUGACAUUAAGUUUGAUUUUUAAUCGGGUAAGCAUAAGUUUCCUGUUUUGGUUUAACUCAUAAUUGGGUAAAUGAAGUAUUUUAUGGAAACCAAUCUUCUUUGUCAUAACCUUGAUGUCAUACACAUAGAAAAGAUCGUGUUUGAGAACAUUUUCAACACGGUUAUGGACGUGAAGGGGAAGACAAAUGACAGCAUCAAGGCUAGAAGGGAUAUAGCUUUGUUUUGUUAUCGUAAAAACAUGAAGUUGUUUUAUGUUAUGUCACGAGUCGCAAAGCCCAAAGCCAGCUUUGCCUUAGACAAGAAUGUAUAGUUACUUGUCUACUAAUGGCUUAAAAGUUUAUGUUUUCCCGAUGGACAAGCCUCAAACAUAUCAAGCUUGGUGAAUUUGGAGGAUUGCAGAUUGUAUGGAAUGAAAAUACAUGACUGUCAUGUGUUUAUACAAACACUCAUUCUAUUAUCAAAUGGGAUAUGGAAUGCACUCAUGAAGACUAGUCACUUCUUUAGAGAUAUAUGCUCCAACAAGUUGCAGACACAACACAUGAAGCAACUUGAAAUGAAUAUCGUCCAAACAAUAUGUAAGCUUGAGAUGAUGUUUCCUCCAUUGUUUUCGAUGGAGCAUCUACCCUUACAUUUACCGUCUGAGGCAAAAAUCGAAGUCCUAGUCCAAUAUAGAAGGAUGCAUCCAUUCGAGAGGUUAGGGUUUACACAUACAUCGUAAUUAAAAUCUUAUUGUCUUUCUUUGCAUAUUUCAAAACAUUCAUUUAAUAUCGUAGGUACUUGUUCAAACAUAAAAGAAAAGUAAAAAACAAGGCACAUGUUAAGGGUUCAAUAUGCGAGGCCUAUAUUCUUGAAGAGAUCUUAACAUUUAUCUCAUACUAUUUUUAGUCUCAAUUGAGAAUAAGAAUCAAUCUCAUUCCAAGGAAUGAUGAUGGUGGGAAGUGUAUUUGAGUGAGAACUUGUCAAUAUUCUUAUAUCCUAGACGACCCAUACCAAAAAAUGUUAUGAGGAGAAUAUAUUUGUUAGAAAUAAAAUUCAGACAAGUAUAUAAUUAUGUGCUAUUUAAUUGCGAUGAACUGAGACAUUUUAUUUCAUAAGUUAUCUCUCGGGAUACUUAAUUUCAUUACACAUUUCUCGUUAACUGUUCAUAGUUAUACUUCAUGUACCGGGUUUAUCAAUUGGUAAGGAAUACUAGUGCUACUUUGUCUUUACUAAGUCUGGGUUUUGAAUGAAAGGUGAAGUUCUACAACGAGAAUUCCGUAAAUGGAUAUGUGUUUGAUACUGAAGAAUAUGGAUAGGGUAGAAAGACAUAAGGGAUCGACUUCUAAUGAGUUUGAAGUUGAUUACUAUAAGAAGUUGAAAGAGGUCAUUGAAUUGCAAUAUCAUAGUGAGUAUAAUAAAGUAUUUUAUUCAAAUACUAUUGGUAUGACACCACUAACAGAUGAAUCAGAGUAUAUCCUCAUCAUGGUUUGGUCACAAUUAAUUCAAAGGCUAGACUCUGUAAUGUCGACGAUAUCUUUGUUUUCGCCAAGUAAUGCUAGUAAGUUUAUUACACAUAUAUUCCUUCCUUUAGAAAGAAUUGUUCAAGAGCUGAGUGGUUAUUCCUAGUGAAAACUAAACCCAGGGGUUGUGUCGAGGUUGCUCUGGAUGGAAAUGAUGAAUUAAUUAUGGGAGAUGAUGUAUUUCAACUUGGUGAGUUAGUUGAUCCAUAUCGAGUUGCUCUGUCUAAUGACUUAAAAGAAAAUUCAAAUUUUUGCAUGACCGAAUAUUUUUAUUGCUGUUGAUGUCGGGAGUUGAAUGAUAUUUUGAGCUCUAGCGGACAUACACAUGUUGAUGAAGAUGAUAGUGAUGAAAUCAACAUAUGAGAUUGCAAUGGAGACGAGGACUGGUCAAUCGACGAAGAAGAAGAUAAUUCUGAUUAAUUUGCACAACAUGAAUGUGUAAUGCCAUAAAAUAUAAUGUAAUAUUUAUGGAUGAAAUUCACUUCAAUGUAAUGACAAUGAUAAUUUAUUAUUGAAUAACAAUGAAAUAUUUAUUUCAUUAUUGUGAUGUGAACUGGUGUUAUUGUGUUGUGCAUGCAACUGUGAAUUUAACUAUUUGGAGGAUGUAUAGAUAGGGAAUAUAGAUAUAAUUUGGCAUCAGACACUGUUUUAAACCGAUGGAAAUGCCGACAUAUUGUAUAUUACAUACGGGUAUACCGACGAAAUGUAUCUGUCGGUAUAUUAUAGAGACCAUGAGAAUUCUUUUCAUUAACCUUGACAUUGUUCAUGGUAUUCAUUACAUACGAGUAUACCCAUAAAAUGUGUUUAUCGGUAUAUUUCAAAGACCAUGGGAACUAUGCCCCUUCACCCUGACACUGUUCACGGUGUUUAUUACAUACGGGUAUACUGACAAAAUAUGUCUGUCGAUAUAUUACAGAGACUAUGGGAAAUGUUUACUUCUCAAUGCGGUGAUAAUUAAUGUUCUUUUGACUGUUCAUUUUUCUCCCAAUAAAAUCAUCGAUAGAAUGAAAAGUUGUCGAUACUAUUCGGAGGGCUUUUUGAAAAUUUUCGUGAAAUUUUAGUUGAAGAUUUUUCAAUUGACUUUACAAACGGAAUCACUGAUGGAAAUAUUAAAAUAUUAAUAUUUAAUUGCUCAUCAGUAAUCUCUAUCACGGGGUCGAGUGCUGCAUCGCGACGUCGUUGGCAGCAGCAGAGGCUUUCCUGUGUGAGGUGCGUGUGUGUGUUGGAAAGAUUUUUUGGAUGUAAUCAUAAAAUUAUGAUUAAUGUUCAAGAGUCGCCAUCUAGUAUUAUGGUCACUAGGAACCUAUGGUCUGUGAGAGUCUGGGUAAGGGACUGACUGUGCAAGGGGAAGACGCAUCACCCCUAGUGCACCCUACCUAAGGUAAGCUGCAAUAUUGUUGUUUGAUUGUUUUUUUCUAAGUCGGGUUUCUAUUCAUUGGUCUUUUCUAAGGUUCAAGGAAGAUAUCUCUUCAUGAGAGAGUCUCUACCUUAUCGGGUUAAAUCCUAACCGUUCUAAAGUCUAAACUUUAGCAUCGCAUCUAUUUACACAUUGUACCAUUAAUACCUGAGGGUAUAAUUUAUUGUAUAAUUUUAAACCCCACAAAUAUUAAAGUCUACAUCUGGACCCUAAAAAAAUGGAAAAAGGUUUUUGAUAUUUUAGCCAAACCCUAAUGGAUGAUCAUAAACUAGUUAUGUUAUCCAUUUUUUGGAUUUUCAAAACAUGAGAAAGAUGCAAUUUUUUAAUGAAAAUAUGCAUUGAAAAUUUUUAGGAUUUGGAUGUAUGGAUCAAAAAAAAAUUAUUAUUAUUUUUUAAAAAAUGUUUUGGAUUUUUUUUGAAAUAUUUAGGAGAAAACCUGGUAUUUUAAUACCGGAUUUAUAUUUUACAUUGUAAAUAUACAACCCGAUAUUAUGCAAAAUGGGUAGAAAAAUAUUUGAUAAAAUCACAAUUUUUUUUAAAAUGUUUUGGAUUUUAAAAAAAAAAAAAUGGGGGUCGGGCCGAGUCCAGCCCAACCAUUUAGGCUGGGCCAGAACUGGCCCGACCCAAAGCCAAAGUGAAUUAUUCUGCUGCUGCAUGCAGAAAUGAAUUUUGCAUGCAGCAGCCUCGACGAAGAAGAAGAGGUGAAGUAGGGAGGAGAAAGUUGCCUGGCUUGGGGGUCUAGGACGUGAUGAGGAUGUUUGGCCGAUGGCUCAGGAGGCGUCGGUUGAGGUGGUGGUGGCCAGAGUUGUCUGUGGGAGGAAGAAGAAAACAUUGCAGAGGAGAGAGAAAGGCUGGAAGGAGAAGAGAGAGCCACGGUGGCAGCUUGGUGGUCGAUUGGUGGUUGUGUUGGCUUUCUGUGGUGGAGCUGGUGGUUGCUCUGGUUGGUGGCUGGAACGGCGGGGAGAGAGAGGGAGAGAAAAAAACUAUAGAAACAGGGGCAGAGGGCUGGUUUUUGGCUGACUUUGGACCCGAUUUCUCCUCCCUCAGAGCCUGAAAUCCACCUCUAUUUAUAGGCGGUGGAAGAGGGAAAUCUUUUUUGCACUAGGGAAAAAUAGCAGCCCUUGAUUCAGUUGGGAUGGAUCCCAACCGUUGGUUGAAAGUAGGCAUGGUGCACUGUCAAAUCUGCAGCUGCAGGCCACUUGAGUUGGCCUUUUUGGGGUGGUGCCACGUCUAUUUCUUUACUGGUGAGGACCAUAGCCAAAUCUAAAGGGAUGUUUGUUAAUUACUUUCGUGCAAGUUUUGUUAAAUUUGGUGGACUUUAGAUACAUUAAAUGCACCUGCAAAGGAGGUAACCAAACCAGCUUUUCUGAAAAAAAUGAAAACGAUAAUGAACAGUACUAGAGUUCUGUUUUUGGCCAAAGUUCAUUUCAGUCCUCCCUCUUUUAAUAUGAUUUAAUUGCACCCCUAAUUGACCCUAUACUUUUCAUUUAGUGCAAUUAAGCCCUUGAUGAACUUCAAUUGACACCCCAAAUUUACGUGCCUAUUGCGAUUAGGUCCUUGGUCUCAAAUUUAUGCAAUUUAACCCCUAAUUGACCCCAAAACUUCAAUUUCCUUGCAAUUUGGCGCCUAAUUUCAAUCAAUUAACUUGGUAAAAAUAUAUUUGGUCUCUUAAAAUUUUAAUCUUCUCAAUUAAGCCCAAAUUAGGCUCCCAAACUUAAUUUUUCACCAAUUAAACCCCAAAUAAAAUUAAUUUGACCCAUUUAAAGUAUAAUUUAAGUCCUUGCACUUAAUUAAAUCCUUCAAUUGGACUCAAAUUAAUUCUUAAAAUUCAAUUUGGCCCAUGAUUAAAUCAAAUUGGUCUAUUGAAAAUUUAAUUAUGUCAUUGGACUUAAUUUUUAUGCAAAUUUGUCCAAUAAUCAUUUAAUUUGACCUUGAAUAUUACUGAUGGAGUCACUGACAAAACAACUUCAUCGUUAUAUUCCAAAGAGUUGGAAAAGAAUUACUGAAAAUGCCACUAUUAUUGAUGGUGUUACCGACGGAACUAACCGUCGGUAUAUUCCAGAGAGUUGGAAAAGAAUUACUACAAAUGUCACUGCUAUUGUUAACGCACCGAAAAAAUUAUAAAUGAUAUUAUGUCGGUGAUAUGUUAUAAUUACCAAAGGAUAUACCGACGGAAUAAAGCGGGUAAAUUAUUUUUGGCAUGCUUUGUCUGUUUGUAAAUUCAUCGGUAUAUUUAUUAUUGACGGACUCACCGACAAUCCAUAAAUUACCGACGAGAGUUUUUUUGACAGACUAUUUAUGUCCGUGAGCCCGUUGGUAACAUAUGUAUCUACAGACUGCUAGUAUAAAUACCGACAAAAAUCCAGCAAAUUAAAAUCAUAAAAAAAAAAAUUAAUUUUGUUUUUAGAAAAUACAAUUUCAACCGCGUUACCAAACACUAACUUAGUGUGAAGGGAGUGGAAACACACAGGUUAAAGAUAAUAGGAAAGGGGGAAACUUGGAAUGAACUUGUUCAUGAUGCAUAAGAGAUAAGCCUGACGAAAUUGAGUGCAGUGCUGUCAGUGGUGAGACUGCAGUGCAGAGAAGACGAUAAAAGGAAGCGGUUUUUUAAAAAAUCAAGAUUAAUUACUUGCAGCUUCACUCUCAAGUUAUAUUAUUGUGUUUCAGCGCAGAUAGGUCAAAUGUCAUAUUUGUAUAUUCAGUUAAGGUCAUGCAGUUCAUAAACUUACAGGCAUUAGUCAUGGAUGUUCAAGGAAAAAAGGCAAAGCAUAUCAAUAUUCAAAUAAGUACUGAAUCCAAUGAUGGGUGUAAUUUAGGAACCUACAGAUUUGGGCUGUUUUGGAGGAAUGAAUCCUGCACUGUUCCAGUCAGCUUGUUGCCACUCAAAAACCUGGUAAGAACCACACUCAUACUAUCAGCAUAAUUUAUUGCGCCAUCCUUGAAAAGAUUUCAAUAACCAAAUUUCAAAAUAUCAGAAUUUAGCAUUGCUCACGUAAACUGUCGUCGUCGUAUUGUAUUAGGAGGAAUCUCCCCAACCAACUUGUUAAAAGUUAAGUCGCUGCAAGAAAUUACAGCAAACAAAAUUUUAGGCUUCAGUUUCUGAAGAAGAUUUUACAUCUUUGUAAAUAUAAUGGCAAUAAACAGGUGGAAAAAAAAAAUAUAUAUAUAUAUAUUAUUAAAUUCUUUGAAGUAAUCCUCUAUUUAUAUUCUUCCUUGGAGAGUUGCAGUUGCUUGAAAUCACUACCUUCUCAUAGGAGCUCAUCCGUUGUGAAAAUAAGUUAAUGUUAUGUUAGAAGCUAGUUGUGAUUCUUCUACUCACUCUAGUAGGACUUUAGUUAUUAUAUACCCAGGAUUAUAUAUUAAUGUAGGAUCUUUAACUUAUACUAACGACCUGAUGAUUCAGGCAGAUCCCACGCACCAGCUGUACAUGGAGAUCAUAUUGGAAAAAUGUAGCAGAAUUGAAAUGUAUAAAAAGAAAUUCUAAUUUUCUUAGCAGCAGAUGUAAGGCGAUGAGUGAAGUUCACACUUACAGUGUUGUUUCCACUUUCCAUGCGUUAUCUGGGAUUGUUCCAGUUAAAUUGAUGUUCCUCAGAACCCUGACAACAAGUUACAGGUUGGCUAAACAGUCUGAACAGAACAUAUCCUGAACUCUACUGAGAAAAGUUAUGAAGCAGUUCACAUACAGGGUAUCCCUUCGAAUCAUCACGUUAGAUAACUGAAACUCUGGUCCAGGCAUAUCAGCAAUCCUCCUGCAUAACAGUAAGAGACCUUGAAUACAACUUAAAUGUUGAAUUCCCUUCAUUUAUCUCUCCCUAUCUCUCACACACAGAGAAUUCUUCAAUAAUUAAUACAGCAGGAGGUAUGCAGCACAAUAAAGUGGUUUUACUCACAAAUCAGACAACUUUUCCAAUUGAAAAAUCGCAGGAGGUAUAGGUCCUUGCAAUCCAGUCGCGUACAAUUCACUUCAUUAGUCACGAAAAGAACAAAAAAUCUCAAUAAACUGUAUCAUGUUGCAUUAGAAUGAAUUAAGAUCUUGUGAAGAUAAACAUCUCACAGCUUUUGAAGUUGAGUCCAGUUCCCAAUGAACUCGGGUACGGUGCCAUUAAGAUUAUUAUCACUUACGCGACUGCACAUUGUAUAUGUUAAAUUAUAAAAAAAAAAAAAAAAAUUGUGUUUAAGGAAAAUAAGUGAGGGCUUACAAAUCCUUCAAGUCUUUUAUCUGCGCAAGUGCCUCUGGCAAGGUCCCCACCAACUUAUUGCCGGAGAGUAUACUGCAGUUGUUAAUUCACGGCAUCAAAGCAAAGAUUUCAACUAAUGAAAGCGAAAUCUCUGGCAAGUCUUCACAAUGGAGAAUUUAGUUAAAUGUCUUACAGAGUUUUUAAGUUCACAAGCUUGCCAAGCUCAGGUGGGACAACACCAGAAAACUGAUUUGAUUCAAGGCUCCUAUAUUUUAUAAUUGCAUUUGAUAAAGUGAAAUAACCAUUAGAGAACAAAGUAAACUAGCAUUGCUGGCAAUAUUCGAAUAACUCAAACUAGAGGUAGAGCACUGUAACAGAUUCAAGCCAUACAAGUAGGUGAGGGCAGUAAAACGUCCCAAAUGUGCAGGAAUAUUUCCUGACAAGUGAUUUGCGGUAAGCGAGCUGUAUAAGAGGUUGGUUAGUUGUGUUAAGCUCACUCUUACAUAGAAAAUAAGAUAAACCAAGAAGAGGGGUGGAUUUAUUAAUGAGCUUACAUGGAAGACAGAUAUUUCAUCGAAGCCCAUUCCACCGGAAUUGUGCCGUAUAGAUCGUUGCGAGUAAAAUCUCUGUCAUAGACAAUGUUGUUGUAUAAAAAUUAUUUUCCAUCUUGAAAUGUUAAUAUAAACUGUGACAGACAAUGGCAAACUCAUAAUCACAUAACAUCUGAUGAGUAUUAAUUAUCAUCGAGGCAUCUCAAGAUUCAUAAUCAUUUAAUGGAUUCAGAAUUGAGGCCUCGAAGCAGAAACAUGAGCCAAAUAUAUAUGUCCUUAAUUAAGGGUUCUUACAUUUUUUUGACAUAAGUAAGGUUGGCCAAUUCCGGAGGAAGCGUGCCUGGAAGACUGUAAUCUUUGAGCUGGCUUUAUUGCAAGCAGGAGAGAGAGACAUCAUUGGUCACAGUUUAGGAAAGCUAAGAUAUAUAUAUAAGAAAGAAAAACAUAAAAAUGUAAAGUAAUUAAGAGGCUUACAAUGAAGUAAUGUGACAGUAAUUAUCUUCAGUGAUGUUGCAGUUACAUUCGAUGGUGCAGUUGCUUUCCGGAGUCGGUUCAGUAAUGUCAACGACUCUGCCUGAUUUACAACGAUCUUCGAAGUUCAAGAAUGGUUGGCCGAUUUGUCUUAACGCUGCAGCUGGGGUUUUUUUUUACAAAAAAAAUUAAUUCAUGAGGAAUGUGCACUCUUCAAAACAUUCUCAAAUAGUUGUUAGAUCAUUAUUAUUAAUAAUAAAUAGAUUACGAUGGUGUUGUUUGGGGUAGAAAUGGGUUUUUCAUAUAGGUAAUGGCCAUACACAUGCAUUACACACACCAUCGACCAUUUGGAUCAAGUUAACUGGAGGCAUGUUUAAAAUUUGUAUUGCAUGUUUGGAGGUCAACCUUAAGAUUAUAUUCUUUUCAUUUUUUUAAAUGAAAUUGUUUGCAAUUAAAAAAAGAAGUCUAAAAUGAUAUUAUUUUAAAUAAAAAUUAAAAAUAAAUAUUAUUUGUUGACUCAAUUGGGUUAAUUAAAUUUAACUAUAUUAAUUUUUAUAUCAAUUUAAAAUAAAACACAGUCUAAAUCAAAUUCUAGAUUGAUUGCAGGGUAACUUUAAAAUAAUAUUAUUUUAAAAUAAUAAUUAAAAACAAAUAUUAUUUGUUAACUCAAUUGAGUUAACUAGAUUUAACUAUAUUAACUUUUAAAUCAGUUUAAAAUAAAACGUAAUCUAAAUUAAACUCUAAAUUAAUUGUUAAGUUUAAAUACUAUUACGAUAUGAUAUGAUGAUAAGAAUUUGUUAUGUAUAAAUAUUAUUUUAUUGUUAUUUGUACCGGUAGAUAUAUCUUAAAUAUUGGUAUAUGAUCAAACGAAAGAAAAAAAUCAUGAGUUCAAAUUCUAUAGUGAGUGCGACAUUUCUUGAAAAAGAAUUAGAUACAAAACAAAAUCACAACUUUUUGUUUUAUAUACGAAUCUAAUUAUAUAAAACAAAACACUCCAUAGAAGCUAUUUUGUUUUAUAUACGACCAAAGAUAUUUUUACUGUUUUUCAAGCAUUUGCAAAGUUUUGGUUAAUGUUGUUUAAUUGUGCGAGUCUCUUGAAGUUUAAUCCAAGAAAUACAAUUAGUAAACUUUAUUUGUAGAAGUUAUAUAUUCAUAUUAUUUUAUAUAAUAACUAGAAUUAAAAAAAAACGAGGGUAAUUCACUAAUCCCUCCUGACAAAUUAUUGUUAAUUGGAAUUAUAAUUUGUUUUUUUAAAUAUAAUUUUAAUUUUAUCUUUUAACAUUAGAUUUAUUAGAGAUUGAGUUUUAUAAAAAAAAAAUUAAUUUUUUUCUAUGAAGUUAUUCUAUUAUUAUAAUCUGGGUCAUUGAUUAUGCAAAUUAAUUUGAUUAACUUGAUUUUUUUAUCAUUUUUUUUAAUUGAAAUUUUUUUUUCAGUUUCUCCAUCAAUAUUGAGUUAACUGAAAUUAGAUUUCAUAAUUUCUUUUUUAAUGAAGUUAUCCUAACCUCGUGACACAAGUUCGGAAGGUUAACUCGAGUUGACUCAAGUUUUCUUUUUAAUUUUAUCCUCCAACAUUGAAUUUAUUAUGAAUUGAAAUUCAUAAUUAUUUUUCUAUUUGCUUUUUAUAGGGUUAUCAUGACCUUAUGACAUGUGUCUUGGAUUUUAUUUUUUUUUAAUUGAAUUUUUUUUAAUUACAUCCUUCAAUAUUGAGAAUUGAUCUUUAUGAUUUUUCUCAAUUUGCUUUCUAUAAAGUUAUUUGAUCUCAUAACCCAAGUUCAACAGGUUAAUCCAAGUUGAAUCAAGUUGUUUUUUUGUUAUUAAAUUUUCUUUUCAAUUUCAUCUUUUAACAUUAGAUUUAUUAGAGAUUGAGUUUUAUAAAAACAAAUUAAUUUUUUUCUAUGGAGUUAUUCUAUUAUUAUAAUCUGGGUCAUUGAUUUUUCAAAUUAAUUUGAUUAACUUGAUUUUUUUAUCAUUUUUUUUAAUUGAAAUUUUUUUUUCAGUUUCUCCAUCAAUAUUGAGUUAACUGAAAUUAGAUUUCAUAAUUUUUUGUUUUUUUAAUGAAGUUAUCCUAACCUCGUGACACAAGUUCGGAAGGUUAACUCGAGUUGACUCAAGUUUUCUUUUUAAUUUUAUCCUCCAACAUUGAAUUUAUUAUGAAUUGAAAUUCAUAAUUAUUUUUCUAUUUGCUUUCUAUAGGGUUAUCAUGACCUUAUGACAUGUGUCUUGGAUUUUACCUUUUUUUUUUUAAUUGAAUUUUUUUUAAUUACAUCCUUCAAUAUUGAGAAUUGAUCUUUAUAAUUUUUCUCAAUUUGCUUUCUAUAAAGUUAUUUGAUCUCAUAACCAAAGUUCAACAGGUUAAUCCAAGUUAAAUCAAGUUGUUUUUUUGUUAUUAAAUUUUCUUUUCAAUUUCAUCUUUUAACAUUUGACUGAUUAAUCUGUUGAAGUUUAAUGCAAGAAUUACAAUUAGUAAACUUUAUUUGUAAAAGUUAUAUAUUCAUAUUUUUUAAUAUAAUAAUAAUUAAAAAGAACUAAAAAAAAACGAGGGUACUUCACUAACCCCUCCUCACAAAUCAAUUUUAAUUGGAAUAAUAUAUAUAUAUCUAUAUAUAUAUAUAUAUAUAUAUAUAUAUAAUUUUUAUCUUUCAACAUUAGAUUUAUUAGAGAUUAAGUUUUUUAAAACAAACUUUAAUUUUUUUCUAUUGGAGCUAUUCUAUUCUCAUGACCUGGAUCAUAGGUUUUGUAGAUUAAUUUAAUUAACUUGAUUUUUUUGUUAUUUUUUUAAUUGAAUAUUUUUUUUCAGUUUCUCCAUCAACAUUGAGUUAAUUGAAAUUAGAUUUCAUAAUUUGUUUCAUUUUAUUUUAUGAAGUUAUUCUAACCUCGUGACACAAGUUUGUAAGGUUAACUCGAGUUGAUUUAAGUUAUUUUUUUUCUUUUUCAAAAAAAAUUUAUCCUCCAACAUUGAAUUUAUUAUGAAUUGAAAUUCAUAAUUUUCUUUCUAUUUGCUUGUAUAGGGUUAUCAUGACCUCAUCACACGUGUCUUGGAUUUUACUCUUUUUUUUUCUAAUUAUAUCCUUCAAUAUUGAGAAUUAAUUUUUAUAAUUUUUAUAGCCAGAUAUUCACUAAAUUAUUGUCCUUACCUAUUAAAAAGUUUAGAAGACGCAUCCAAAUAAACAAUCACCUCAAAAGCAAAAGGAAAAAAUAAUUGUUUUUCAAAAAAAUAAUAAUAAAUAAAUAAAAAGAAAACAUAAUCUUUUUUCAAAAAAUAAAUAAUAAAUAAAUAAUUUGAGCUUCUCUAACAAUAACAAUCAUAUAUAUUUUAUAGUUACAAAGGGUCACAAAAAUUAGAUAUGACUAAACCCAACGAGGGCAAAAAUAUUGUUAACCUAGUUAUCCAAAUUCCAACAAAGAUGAUACUAGAAAGUGCAGGGGAAACUUUCAUCUUGCCCAAAUGCCUAGUUUUCACCUUUUUUUUUAUGUUAUUCUCGUUCCAUUUACUAAAGUCUAAAAUAUAAUAAUUAAAUAUGUCUUAAUUACUCUUUAAUUUUAACUUCUAAGAAAUUCCUUUUAAUAGUACUCUCAAAAUAAUAAUAAUAAUAAGAAAAAAAUAUAAAAACGAAGAAGUAACAAAGAAAACCUAUAUUUUAAGGAUUGUAUAUUUUCUUAAAUAUUAUAUUUUGAAGAAUCUAAAUUAUCAAACUAAGAUUAAUAUCUAUAAUUACAGUAUUUUUUAGUUCCUAACACAUAUCUUUAAUAGUAAAGUCAUUGCAUCAUACAACAAUAAUAAAAUAUUAAGAAAAUAAAAUUGUUGAUGAUAUUUGAUACUAAAAUUUGAUCAAUUGAGUUAUUUGUUCAUAAAAUUCACAAUAUUUACCAACUCAAUGUUGAGUUUGUAAGGAUAAAAAAUUUACGUUGACUUUUAUUUUGUAUUUUUAAAAAAUAAAAUCAUGAAUAUUAAGGAAUAAUUUAAUAUAUUAUUUUUUAAAUAAUAAAAUCAAGUUCAUUUGAAAAUUAAUUACUUUUAAGAUUUUUAAAAAAUAAAAAACACAAUAUAAUAGGCUAUUUUGUUUUUCUACAAUAAAUAGAAUAACAAAAAUGGAAGUGGAAUAAAACCACCUUUUUUUUUGUUGUUUUUGUUUUAAUUCUUUUAUAAUAUUCAAAUUCAAUAUCCUUCUUUGAUUCCAAAGCACAAGAUAAUUUAUAUUGAUAAUUAUAUCCAUAUAAUAUAUAAGAUUUAAUAGUUGCGAUAAAAAGAUAUUUAGCCUUUAAAGGUGACAAGUGAGAAGCAAAUCUGUUGAUGUUUAUGGACAAAAAAAGAAGAAAAAACAAAAACUUAAUAUCCUUCUUUGACACUUGGUUUUGAUAAGAUGAGUUGGAAAGUUUGAAAGACUUGCUGUAUACUUAUAAGACCUCACCGAUCUGAUCUCAGUAUAUAUUACUGUGAAAACAAAGAACAGUGCUUGGGCAAUUAAUUAUUAAGUAGCUAGGUAGGUUAUUCUUACCUUCUGCUGGAUGUAGCUGAUCAGAAGCAAGCAAAGUAGUAGAGCUCGAGAAACUGAUCAUCACCAUAACCUGGCAAAGCUGAAACAUCAUUAACAUCUUGUGCUGCGAAAUUGACUGCGAAAGCUCGAAUAGGUUUUUGUAUUUGUCGACACAAGACAAGCAGGGAAGGAGAGGUUGAUUUGAUUUGUACUUCACUGUAUCUUAAGCUGUUCUUCGGUAGUAAAGUUGCCUGGCGAAUGCAAGUAAAUGUAUAGAAACUCAUUAAAUGUAUGAAAUAUUAUUAGAUGUACUUGAUUAAUUACUAAAUGUAAUAUAUUGAAAUAUUCAAUUUUUUUUUGAAAAUCAAAAUAAUAAUUCUCGUAUAAAUCUUCACCUCGUAUUUUCUUGGGUUCUCCUAGUUGCAGGUUGCAAGAUGUUGAAAUUUAUAAGAUAAGGAGGCAGACACGUAUCGAGGCAUUUGAGCCACAAAUUUAAUGACUACAAGCUAUGUUGAAUGAUUAAUAUUUGAACCCGACUUGUCAAUUUAUUGUACAGAAGUGAUUACUCAAAGAGACCCACAUUGCUUGAAGUCCAUUCCAUACUGCUGUAAAGUGUACUGAGAAAUAUAUUCGUGCCCAUUAAUAUAUUUUUUUUUUUUUGUUUUAAAUUAUUUUUUAUGCUUUUUUUUAGAUUGUUUUGAUGUUAUUAAAUUAAAAAUAAUUUUAAAAAAAUAAAAAAAUUAAUUUAAUAUAUUUUUAAAUAAAAAAUAUUUUAAAAAACACUACAUACUUGUGUUAGUCACGUUUUAAUGCCUCUGUUAGUCAUCAUUUGCUUUGAAUAUCACUGUGACACACUCUCGUUAUAACACAAAAAUAGUCUAGUCUCGUGACACGUGGGUUGUGCAUGUAUUAUAAAAAAUAAUAAUUAAUAAUAAUAAUUAUAGUUGUCUACCUACCUACCAGGGAGUUGUGCAUGUAUUAUAAAAAAUAGUCUAAAGCGGAGGCUGAAGCAUCAGAAACAUGUUUAGUAGGACAGAUUCUUAAAUUGGUGAGAUUUGAUUCCUUUUCAUUUCUAUCUCUCCAAACCGACAAGGAUUGAUUACAAGUUACCAGCUGGUAAUUAUCGCAACAGGUAAUUAAUUUCUCCACUUCUCUCUUCCUUGAUCAGCCUAAAUUAUUGAUAAAAUCAACAACACUGUAAUACUAAGUCCAAUUAAGCCUAUACGGUAUUUUGUACGUUAUACAUAUUUUUAUAAAUAUCUAGAAUUUUUAUAAAAUAUUUAUAUUAAAUAUCUUAAAAUUAUAAGAUAUUUAUCUUAAAAAAUAAACAAAUAUAUACAGGAGCAUAAAAAGAGAGGCUAGAAGGUCAUAACUCAUCUUUCUAGAUAACACAAGUCUACUAUAAAACUUAAACAAGGUGUAAGGAAUAUUUAAUAUUAGAAAAUACUCAUUCUCCUCGUCACCUGUUUAAACACUAUACUGACUUAAACAUUAGAAUGUUUUUCUUGCAAGUGUCACCGGCCCACCAAGUCCUUCGAAUCCAAUUUUAUCAACCCAGGAAAACCACUCACAAUCUUUCUCUUGAUGAUUUUUUCAGCCUUAUCAAUUGGCAUUGUCUAUGGAAAAUGAACAAAAAAUCAGUUUAUUCAUGCUUCUUAAAAAUUACUUUCAUGGUUGGCAAUACAUCUAUGGCUACACCAACGAUACAUGAUGCCAGCAGCUAAGCCAAUGACAUGUGAUGCCAACAUCUAAACCAGUGGUUAAGCACUCGACUACGCCCCACAUGACUACGCCAGCAAUUACGCCUGAUAUGGCUACGCCAGACACCCAAGGCAACACCCACGACUAUGUCUACGACUGCACUUAAUGGCUAUGCCCUAAGGCUACACCCACAAACAACUUUUUCUGGUGGCUUAUAUAUAUAAAAGGUGUCGUCAAGACUUGGGAGCUCUGUUGAUACACUAAAGGUAAGAUUACCCCCCUAUAAGUAUUUCCUCCCCCACUCUUCCUAGGUCAAGUCUUCCAAAAACAUCUAUUUGCAAGACCUGGUACAUGUAUGAAAAAACUACAAAGUAAUAUUAAUUUUUGGACCAAGUCCAAUCGGGCCUACACGAUGUUUUAUACAAUGUACACAUCUUCGUAAAUAUAUUUAUAAAUAUCUAUGAUAUUUUAAGAUAUUAAUAUUAAAUAUCUUAUAACUUAUAUAUUUAUGAGAUAUUUAUAUAAAAUAUAUUAAAACUUAGAUAUUUCUUAAGAUAUUUAUCUUAAAAAGGUCUAUAUAAACAAAUAUCUUUAGAAACAUAAAGAAAAAGGUCAAAAGGCCAAAGCUCAUCUCUCUAGACAACAUAAAUCUAAUGUAAGACUUGAACAAAACUUAAGGAACAUUUAAGCCUAGAGAAUACAACCUGAUUUCUAUCGGGUCCACUAGACGAUCAUGUCUUCAUCCACAAAUUCGGAUCGAAAUCCGAGUGGGUCGAAGGACGUCCCUGUAUCUCUCCCUCAACUGGCUAUUAUAUGUCUCCUUAAAAUAAAAAAGAAAUCAUCAAAUUCAAUUCAAGAAAACAAUAACUUACGAAAAAAACUAGUUGAACGAACAUACCACGAACUGUUGAGCGCGGUUGCCGACGAACUGUUGCACUCCAUUUUGGCAGUCUUCACUUCGAACGUGCGUCUCCACAAAAAGCUUCAUUGGGCUCGGCUCACAUCCAAGAGUCAUAGCUUGUAAGAAAAAAAAAUAUUACAAGUUAAAUAUAUUUAUAAAUAACAACAAAUUAAUUAAAGAUACAUGUCUUUAAAAUUAAUCUUACCAUCUGAUUCACAUGUGCAAUGAAUGGAACGAAGUUGUUGGUGUGCGUGGUAACCGAACCGUGAAUUUUUUGGUUCUGGUUCUCAGCACUAGACUGUAAGAGUCUUGUGAACCGGUCGGACAUCAUGUGCUGAAUAUACUAUGCCCAUAUAUCCUCCGAGAUGUAUGGCGACCUAAAAUUCCUCCAAACCGCCACGUUAUUCCAGCCUGGUAGAGCAUUAUCUCUAGCAUAUUUUUUAGCUUUUUUUGCGCUUUAUACCAAAAGUCACGCAACCUACAUGAUACAAAUGUAUUUUAUAUAAGUUAAUAACAAAUUAGAUUUUAAUAUAUAAAUUGUGUUUUUUUAAUAUUGUAUUGUUUUUUAUGUUACCGAGUUGCAGCGUGAUUCUCCCACAUUGUCCUCGCAAGAUUAUCAUUUAUGUUAUCCCACUCGAAUUUGUUCUGUGUAUAAAAAAUUUAUAAAAAAUAAAUCAAUAAUUUCAAUAUAACAUAAAAAAUAGUUAAAUUUUAAGUUAACACUGACCUUAAAUCUUCUAAACCAUGCAUCAAUAUAAGGUUUCCAAUUAGGAUGUCUGCAAACCUGGCUCAAUUAAAACAAUAGAAUUUCUAUCGACAAUUUAAACUCCGAUGUUUAUGAACCUGAAAAUCAAUAAAAUUAAUAAAAUAUUAGUUGUUCACAAAUUGUUAAACACAAACCAACUCAAAUCAAAACAAACUCCAAAACAAACUUACAUUGAAAGGUCGGCCUUCCAAUGUGCUAUGUACUUACGGGGGCAUUGUCCUUGCUGUGAAGGGACACUACCUCCAAAGCUAAAUUUUAUUAGAAGCAUCAAAGUCAUUAGUGGUAGCUCUAAUUUGCUUCAGAGAAAAUGUUCCCUUUGGAAAAUCAAGUCCUUUGACAUCUGUUCAAGUAGGAGACAGGACAUAAGGUGCCAACGAAUUGUCAGUCUUUUGAUAUAUUUACAGGAGAAAAGUAGACCAUGAAACUCCAUUGAAAAGAGGCAUUUUUCAUUCUCCAAUAUAAGCGUGUCUACCCAGAACUUUCCUCCUCCUCAGGAAAGCACCCUUACUACAUACAAUGCCAAUCAAACUUGUACAAUUAAUAAUUGUGUGUAAUCAUCUUGAGGUGAAAUAUCGCAGCCACUUGUAUAAGAAUAAAAGAUAAGCCCAUGAAACUUGAUGCUUCUUUUGCUUUUCUUUUCCCUAAAUGUCCAUGCAUAAUUUUAGCAAAGAAAUCUCAAGUUGUUUCCAUCUAGUUCAUAAUCUCAUACUAGAAACAAAACCAAAUCCAUAGGAUGCUGUUUGAGGCUGCAGUGUUUGGGCAGCUAUGUAAGUUAUACCCACAUAUAAUUUUUCCUACAUCUGGCAAACAUGGAUGCAGCGUGGAAUUUUAUUAGACUACUAACACAAACAUGGGUAAAUAAUAUAUAUGGCGUUACCUCUUUUCCUGUGCAAUUUUCCUGGCAAGUUUCCUUUCCACCAAAGAAUUACCAGUAUAAUGGCAACCAGGCAUGAUGCUCCAACAGCUCCAACAACCACAUAAACAGCUCCCUUCUUUUUCCCACUAGAACAAACUUUCAAAUCUGCCCAUUAAACAGAAAAAUUGGUCACAAUCACACACAGAUUGGAUAUUUAAACUAAAAUGACACUUCCUUAAAUUACAUGAGUUUCUCUGUAAUAAUUUACCCAAAUGGGACUUAGAUGCCAGAAUCUGAAUAAUACUCUCUUGAGGUACCAAACUAUUUUAUCAUAAUAUUGGAGAACUUAUAAAUAAAAUAGUUGUUUCAUACUAUCCACGCCUUCCUGAGUCUCUGUUACCCUACACUACAUUUACAUUUACAGGGGAAGGAGAGGAGAGGAUAAGUGACCAGGAGAGAGGAGAGGAGAGGAGAGGAAAGGUAGGCAUAUUGUUGUGGAUCUCAACCCAUAAUUUAAACAGAGACCAAGUGCUAUCCAGCAAAGGAAGGUCAAAUAUAAGAAACAUAUCAAAAUUUGUUAUGCAGCCCUAAAAUCUUCUUCUUUAGCACAGUGGUGCUGAUUUUAAAUCAAUCAUAUGUACAUGCACUGCUGAUAAUUGUAUGAUCGAGAAUAAAUGUCAAACAGACAACUUACCAGAAAAUACAGAGAUGGCUGAUAUGAUGGGACCGUAAACUCCCCUAUCAGGAAUCCUUGUUGUCCCUUUUCCGGAAAAAUAGAAUCUGAUCUCCAACAUAUUAUUGGUCACAUUGACAUUCAAUACUUGCUUCACUAAAGGCUUUUCAGCACUGCCAACCUCAUCUUCAAUAUUGAAAUCUUUCGAAACCAAUCUUUCCUGUGACACAGUAGUCCAGCUAAGUCCUUACUGAAGGAAUUAGCAAUUUAUAUAGAAAUGUAAUAGAAAUGAAGAAGAGCAAAGAGUAUAAAGGAAGAAGAACAGAGAAUCAAACUGUUAGUAUAGAAGUAGAAGACGAAUUCUAGCACUGUUGUAUAUUUGCUUUUGCUUAACUAUUACAUUCAUUAUUCUCUGUUUAUAUAUGCAGCAUAGGAAGAUACUAUACAGAGAAAUAUGCAUGCUAACAGAUUCUCCUUUAACAAAUAAUGCUAACAGCUUUGUAACAAUAUUAAUUGCUAAUCUUCUGACACUUGGCAGCCUUAGGAUCGUUGAUAUCUUUACAUGCUCCCUCAAUCACAAGCUGGGAGGAACCAAGCAUGAGAUUGGAACAAUGAUGCUGAAAUAGAGAAAUGGAAAGGCCUUUGGUGAGGAUAUCAGCAAACUGAUCACAAGAGGAGACAUGCUGAACCAGUAAAUCACCCAUGAUAACCCGCUCUCUCACAAAAUGAUAAUCAAUCUGAAGAUGCUUCAUCCUGGAAUGGAACACUGGAUUGGAAGCAAGGGAGAUAGCAGAAAUAUUAUCAUAAUGAAUUAAAGGUGGAAGAAGUAAAGGAAUAUGAAUGUCACAUAGGAGCUGACGAAUCCAGGCAAGUUCAGCAGCAGUGAUUGCGAGAGCGCGAUAUUCAGCCUCCGUUGACGAACGAGAAACAAUAUGUUGUUUCUUAGAAGCCCUAGAAAUAGGACUGGAACCAAAAUACACAAGAGAACCAGAGACAGACCGGCGGUCAUUAGGAUCUCCAGCCUAGUUGGCGUCACUGUAGGCCUGCAAAUAAAGAGGACCGGGACGAAAGUGAAGGCCAAGAUGUAGGGUACCUUUGAGAUAUCGUAAAAUACGUUUGACGGCGACAACAUGAGAAACCAUUGGAUUAUGCAUGAACUGGCAAGCUUGAUUCACCGAAAAGGCAAUAUCAGGCCUGGUGAAAGUGAGAUAUUGCAAGGCUCCCACAAUGCUCCUGUAUUGCUGCGGAUUAGAAUAGGGGUGGCCAUCAUCCUUGAGCAAGUGAUGAUGAGGAAGACAAGGAGUAGCACAAGACUUGGAAUUCUGCAAAUCAACCCUGGCAAGUAAGUCAGUGACAUAGCUGGUUUGAGAUACAAAUAAUCCACUAGGCAGAUAGGAAAUCUGCAGCCCCAAAAAAUGAUGCAAGGGACCCAAAUUUGUGAGGUCAAAUUCUUGAGACAGAGUAGUAAUAACAGAUGAAAAAAAGGAGGAAUGGAUGCCAGUUAGAAUGAUAUCGUCAACAUAGAGGAGUAAGAGCAGAGUGCCAUGAGAAGAGUGCUGAACAAAUAAAGAGGAAUCAGCAAGAGAUGCUUGAAACCCUAAGCUGGGCAAAAAACUUGUGAAGCGCUCAUUCCAGGCACGAGGAGCCUACUUAAGACCAUACAAAGACUUCCUCAGCCGGCAAACAAAAUCAAAGGGAUGAGCCUUGUCGCACCCGACAUCGCGGCGGCCCUAAAAAUUAAUAAAUCCUUGGAAAGAACGGAUUUCUGGCAUCCUGUUCUUUAAUGUGGUAUUCUUGUUUAAGAAGUCGCCACCUAGUAUUAUGGUCACUAGGAACCCUAACUGGUCAACAUAGAUUAUAUGGUUCGAGACUGGUUACGUAAAAGGGAAGAUAUUAUCACCCCUUAAACGUCCUGCCUCAGGCAGGCUGCAUUGCUAGUUUCGUCUUAAAUUGAUAAAUGUUUAUUAGUUUACGUUAUGAUAAUUUGCUUAUAAUAUUCCUGACUCUGGCGGCAGUGAAUAUUCAACUACGGAUAAUUCCAACUCUGGCAUUGGUAAAUAUCACGUAGCUUUAAAAUAAAUUAAAUCAAUAUUUUUUAUUCCCGACGUAGCUAAAAAAAAUAAAUGUAAAUCAAAUGUUUUUUUUUUAUUCCCGACUCUGGCGCCAGUGAAUAAAUAAAUAAUACUACAUUUAUUUUUACGCAUGCACAUAUUUUUUAUUUUUCUAGCUAAAAUAAAAUAAAAUACAACGAAUAAAAAUAAUAUAAAUUUAAACCGGUAUUCUUAUUCCUGACUCUGGCGUCAGUGAAUUAACCAAUAAAUUUACAUUAUUUUUAUUCAUCCAAAUAAAAUAAAAUACAACGAAUAAAAAUAAUAUAAAUUUAAACCGGUAUUUUUAUUCCUAACUCUGGCGUUAGUGAAUAAACCAAUAAAUUUACAUUAUUUUUAUUUAUGCAUACACAUUUUUUUUUAUUGUUUUGGGCUGGGCUCGGCCCGGCACAACCCAACAUUUAUUUUUGGGCUGGGCCCAACUCAGCCCAUAUGGGCUGGGCUAAGCCCAGCAGCCCGGCCCGGCCACUGGCCCAAGCCAGUGGCCUGGCCGGGCAAAAAUCAACCAGAAGCACGCGUGCUGUAUACUGUGCAAAGGUAAUUAAAAUUACCUUCGCACAGUAAUAACCUUAUUGUAUCUGCGAAAACGAAAGAGAAUUCAAUGAAAACUAAAGAAAGCUUACCUGCUCUGCUGGAGUGCUGCUGUUUUGGGCGAAGAUCUGUGAAGGCGUUCCUCCUGGCGAAACUGGAAUUCCUUCUACCCUUUGCUUUCCUGCCCUCUGCUUCUUCUUCUCUCGGUAGUUCGUCUCCCCUCUACUUCUGGUUGUCCGUUCGUUCUCCCCUGUGUUUUUUCCGUUCUCUAUGUGCUGCGUGUGUUUUGUUCUCGGUUUUCUCCCUGCUUCAUCCCCCACUGAUUUUCGUUUCCAUCCCCUCUGUUGCUGGUCUGUUCGUCCUGGGUUUUUUUUUGGGUUCCCGUUUUAUGCUGGGUUUUUCUUCCCCUGGUGUCCUUGCCUCUUUGGUGUUUUUUUUCGUUUCUGGUAUUUUGCUCUCUUUCUCUCCCCUCCCGUCAACCUGGUUUCGGUUCCCUUUUUAUAGAGCUCGAGAGCUUCCCCCCUAAAUCAAUCCCAUCUUUGCAGGACUGUUAUUCAAAUCACGAGAGGGAUUAUGCGCAAGAGACGUGGUCCACGAUUGGAUCAAAUUUGUUGCAGAUCUUCAGCCUUUUGAACCGCGAUGGAGACGACGAACACAGCUGUUCCCAGCAACGGCGACGUUUUCAAGCAACCCGUGGACAUUUUCAAUUUGACACCUGAACUUUGGAAAUUUCGCAAUUGGACCCCUAAGCAAAUAAAAAUUUCUUUCAAUUUUGCCCUUUUUGGAUAAAUUUCAAUUAAGUCCCUGAAUUUAUUUAAUUAAUUAAAUCAAAGUUUUAAUUAAGUCCACAAACUUAUUAAUUCUUCUAAUUUCAUUAAUUAAACUAAUCUAAACUUUAAGUAAAUUUCCAAACUUAUUAAUUCUUCAAUUUCUGACCAAUUUAUUCUCAAAUCUCAUAAUUUUAUCCCUAAAUUUCAAAAUUUGUUGUCUUAACCCCAUUGUCAACUAUAUUUUAUUAUUUGUUCAAAAAUUGGGUUAUGACAGUUGCCCCCUCUUUAUAAUAUUUACAAUACCAAGAUAUUGGAAAAUUUCAUUUUCCUUAGCUUUGUAUAGUAAAUUUAUAAAGAAAAGUAGAUACGGAAAAGGAGUCUUGAAAACUUUGAAAACAGUCGAUUGACAUAUAACUUUUUACAGAGAGAACAAGUCAUUUGGAAGACAGCUUAUUUAUUUUUUUUAUUUUUUUAUUGUUUUUUUUUUGUGAUGGUAUAUUGUAAUGGGUUACCGGCCCAGAUGGUCACAUUAUAAUGGGUUACCUGCCCAGUAUAGGAUGGUAUAUUGUGAUGGGUUACUGGCCCAAAUGGUCACAUUGUAAUGGGUUACCUGCCCAGUAUAGGAUGGUAUAUUAUAAUGGGUUACCGACCCAAAUGGUCACAUUGUAAUGGGUUACCUGCCUAGUUGGUAUGUUGUAAUGGGUUACCUGCCUAGUUGGUAUGUUGUAAUGGGUUACCUGCCCAGUAUAGGAUGGUAUAUUGUAAUGGGUUACCGACCCAGUUGGUAAAUUGUAAUGGGUUACCAGCCCAGGUGGUCACAUUGUAAAGGGUUACCUGCCCAGUUGGUCACAUUGUAAAGGGUUACCUGCCCAGUUGGUAUAUUGUAACGGGUUACCAGCCCAGAUGGUCACAUUGUAAUGGGUUACCUGCCCAAUUGGUAUGUUGUAAUGGGUUACCUGCCCAGUUGGUCACAUUGUAAUGGGUUACCUGCCCAGUUGGUAUGUUGUAAUGGGUUACCAGCCCAGAUGGUCACAUUGUAAUGGGUUACCUGCCCAGUUGGUCACAUUGUAAUGGGUUACCUGCCCAGUUGGUAAAAUACAAGGAAUUUUUUUAUUUUUUUUUAAUAAGACGAGGGCUCGAAGGCGCGCUCGAAUGUAGAUAAGACGAGGGCUCGAAGGCGCGCUCGAAUGGAGGUAGGAUAGAAAAUGCACUACCUUUGAUGGUCGAGGGCUCGAAGGCGCGCUCGAAUGGAGGUAGGAUAGAAAAUGCACUACCUAUGAUGGUCGAGGGCUCGAAGUCGCGCUCGAAAAGAACUCAGACGAGGGCUCGAAGGGGCGCUCGAAUGGAGGUAAGACGAGGGCUCUAAGGCGCGCUCGAAUGGAGGUAGGAUAGAAAAUAAACUACCUUUGAUGGUUGAGGGCUCGAAGACGCGCUCGAAAAUAAAUAAGACGAGGGCUCGAAGGCGCGCUCGAAAAUAAAUAAGACGAGGGCUCGAAGGCGCGCUCGAAUGUAAGACGAGGGCUCGAAGGCGCGCUCGAAUGGAGGUAGGAUAGAAAAUGCACUACCUUUGAUGGUCGAGGGCUCAAAGGCGCUCUCGAAAAUAAAUAAAACGAGGGUUCGAAGGCGCGCUCGAAUGGAGGUAGGAUAGAAAAUGCACUACCUUUGAUGGUCGAGGGCUCGAAGGCGCGCUCGAAAAUAAAUAAGACGAGGGCUCGAAGGCGCGCUCAAAUGGAGGUAGGAUAGAAAAUGCACUACCUUUGAUGGUCGAGGGCUCGAAGGCACGCUCGAAAAUAAAUAAGACGAGGGCUCGAAUGCGCGCUCGAAUGUAAGACGAGGGCUCGAAGACGCGCUCGAAUAGAGGUAGGAUAGAAAAUGCACUACCUCAGGUGUGGAAACUGAAAGGUGGUGAAAAAAUACAUAGAUUUUUCUGGUGGCCUAAUUCUCAUGGGCGACCUGCCUAGGUUGAACAAUUCUCAAAAAUGAAAAAUUUUCAACAGCAAUUUUGAUCUUUGGCCAUUUCAAGUUGGCCUUCCACUUGAUGGAUUCUGUUUGAAUUUUUUUCUAAUGCAGAAAUCAUUGCUCAAUGUCUCAAAGUUUAGAUGAUAUGCAUGCAUCUUUACCUGAUUUGAAAUAUAGGCCCCCAUUUCUUCACAAUCUUCUUGUUGAUUAGUUGGUGAGAUCUGAUUUAAGUCAUCUUUGUCGCUUGACUUCCAACCCACUCGAGUUGGCCCAUGUAAGUCUACUUCCAAAUUUGUUUUCAUAACUCAGCAUUUGUGGUGCCCAUCGUGACCCACUUGCUUGCUAAAGAUUUUCUGAUUCGUCAAAUAAUUUGAGAGGAUUAUUCAUUACCCCUCGUCUCACUACUAAAAACAUUCGGUAUCACUUGCUAAAAGGAUCGAGCUGUCUUUUGUAAACCAAAAUGCCCCCUUAUCUUGUUGUAAUGGAUGAUAGGUUUUCCUUCAACACAAUGUUGUCCCCUUGUACUGGUCAUUGACCCCAAGUGUGCUAUGUUACUGGCUUAGAUGAAUAAUGAUUGUAAGAGGUCAUUCUCUCUUUUGGUGAAGGAAUAUGAGUCUAGAAUGAAUCUUGAAAUCUUGAUCUUGCAUUUUGAAAACAAAAAUUAUUUCGAUGUGAGUCUAAAAUAAUUUGCUUUUGAAAUCUUGCAACUCCUUGGUUAUUUUCUUUCUUGGAAAAGAGAUUAUUUGCUCUUGUGUUUGGUAAUGAGGUCUUCGGUGAAAAUAUAUCAUGAGAUGACCUUUUGUUUCGAAGUGAAGGGCUCGAGAAAAAGCUCGAGGUUUUGUAAGAGAAAAACUUGUCUCUUUUUGAACAUUUAUUUUUAUCAGCAUGAAUAAUAAUGAGUAGUUUAUUCUUGAUGUCAUGAAUCUUAUGAAAAAGUAUCUUUGCAUUUUGAGAGCAUUGUUUAUUGUUCUAGGUUGCUUGCUUGCUUGAUUAGAAAGGACUUUUACAGGCACGUAACGUAGGCUGUAGUUUUCGGCUAUGAAAGAAAAGGAUAUAAAGCUCAAAGAGUGUUUCAGGGUUUCAAAGACUGAAGAUCACGAUCAAUAGUUUGACUUUUGGCGUCAUUCAUGUUAUCUUUUGCCGCUCUUCUUUGAUUUGCCCCUUUUUUUUUUUUCAUUGCUUUGCUAGAGCAUACUCAUUUUAUCUUGGUUAUCACUUUUUCUUGUGAUUUGGGCAUGCCCCCUAGCAUUUGAGUUUCUUGGGCUCUUUUGCCUUUUGGCUUUCUCACGGCUUUAUCCUCUUUCUUGAUCAUUGAAAUUUCACUUGCCCCUUUUUUUUUUGAUGUGGGCAUGAUCCCUAGCAUUUGUGUUUCUUGGGCUCUUUUGCCUUUUGGCUUUCUCACGGCUUUAUCAUCCUUCUUGAUCAUUGAAAUUUCACUUGCCCCAGUGUAGGGUGUGAUCUUAGUCGGGAUUUUUUAUGAAAGAAAAAUUAUUCAGGCUCAAAAAGGGUUUGCAAGGGAUGUACUUAUUUUAGAACGUGAAAGGAAUAACAAAGAUGGCCUUUCCUCAUUUCAAGCGCAAGCAGCUAUGAUCAAUAAACUUUGACCUCGUAUAGUGUGAUGGUUUAUUCUUUGCAAAGAUGCAUUUCAUGAGUUAUGAGCAACAAGUUCACUACAUACCAUUAUUCAUACAUUUAAAAACACAUGAUUCAAGAGUAAUGGGGUAAGGGUGUUUAUUCUUUUUUUUUCACAAUUGUUUUUAUAAUUUAGUCACCUCAAUGAUGGAGUUGCUUGAUUCACUUGUCAUUCUACAAGUAGAAUGUCAAAAAUAUCGUUUUUGAAUAAACAUCAAAUUAUUUUUUGAAAUCAAAAUGCCAGAUCAAUUUUUUUUCAAAACUCCAAUAGGGAAACUGAUUUUUGGUAAAAGAGAUGAAUUGCGUCUAUGAGAUCGCACAAGGCUUCAAAGAUGUGUUUGUGAAUCUUUAUAAGAAAACUCUCUCAGAAAAAUGAAUAAUGCUAAUCGUAAACACGAUUGAAUGACAAACUCAUUAUUUUCAUUGAAACUUUAGAAAAUAAGUUCAACAAGAAAGAACUUAUGACAACAUCUUGGGCUAUGAAUACUGGCAUGAUAACAUAUAAAGGGGCUAAACAUUUAGCGAUCAUUGAUUGGAAUUUCUGGAAUAUUUCAAUCAUUCAUUCUCCUCGACAAGGGCAUCUUUUCAACAGUCAAUUGAAAUCAAAUGUAGAUCAUUCUCGACCUAAUAUCACCAUAGCUUUAUCUUCAAGAUAGUUGAUUUCUAGGAGUCGAUGUGAAGCAAUUAGCUAUAGAAAUGAUAAGUGCCUUGGCAACCACCUUCAGUGAAACCGUUCUUCUCAGUCGGGUUAGCAAUCUUACCUAACCCAAUGGCUUGUUCAAUCCUCUCAGCUAUAACAACCAGGUCAGUGAAAUGUUGUGCAGAGCUUCUAACCAAGUAUUCAAAGUACGGAGCUUUAAAGGUGUCGGAAAAUAAAUUGAUCAUCUCUUUUUCCAACAUGGGAGGGUUAACUUGUGCAGCUAACUCACUCCAUCUCCGGGCGUAUUCUCUUAUGGACUCCUUGUUGUCCUUCUCCAUAGCUUGCAAGCUUAAACGAUCAGGGCCCACGUCUAUAUUGAACUUAUAUUGCCUCAUGAAGGCAUCAACUAAAUCCUUCCAUUUUUUAACCUUGGUAUUGUCCAACCGCAUAUACCAAGUGAGGGCAACAUUACUCAGACUGUCUUGAAAUAAAUGAAUCAGCAGUUUCUCAUCAUGAACCACCUCAGCCAUUUUGUUGCAGUAUGCUUUGAGAUGAUAGGGCAUUGAGUUCCCGUAUAUUUAACAAAUUCUGGCACUCUAAAUUUUUUUUGGAAUGACCACGUUGGGCAUCAAACACAUCUCAACAGCCUUUAUAGGAUCAUAUAGGUGAAUUCCCUCAAAUGCCCUCAUCCUUUGUUCUAGGGCAAUGAAUUUGUUCAGCUCAUCUUCUUUUACCAUUUUGCUCUUUUGAGAUUCAUUCUUUGUAGAAUCAAUAGUAAACGACAUUCUCGUGAGGUAUGCUGGAUGAAAAUGCAUGGCUUGUUGAAAAUCAGAUGAAGGGAUUUACACGCAUAGGUUCAGGCUGAGCUAUAAGUGUUGCUUUUCCGGAUUUAUCUCUCAAGGACUGCUCGAGUAGACUAGUAAGCCUUGCGACUUCUUCUUUAAGAUUGUCCACCUCUUUUUGAUGUUGGGCUUCCAACUAGGCUCUUUCUUCAUCUUCCAUUUGUCUUUUUCUCGAAUGGGCUUCAAUGGGGAGCCUAUAUUUUAACCUGCUAUAUGUAAAUCUUGCAAUUAUGCAAAAAUGUUGAUUCAAUUAAAAAUGCUAUGGAAUGCAGACACGUCCUUCACGGGAUGACAACCUAAUAGGAAGAUCCUAAUUGUUGAGUGCAUCAAAGGGUUGGUCAUUAUCUAGUUUCAAAGGGUCUCUCGCAUGCUCAGUGAUCGUCCAUGAAAGGUCGAUAUGAGGCUUACAAGUAGUGUGAAAAUAGAGGCCCUGAGUAAUAUCAGUUUGGCAUAUCAACCACUUCCAAGUAAACAAUCAAGCGAGAGUUGGAUGGUUUCACGAGUCUUACCCAGGCUAAAGCCAUUGGGGUACCGUUACUUUCCCACUUAUCCUAGAUUUUCAGGUGUGUGCUCUCAACGUGAUGCAUGACAAUAUAAACAUGGAUGCAUGCUAAAGCAGUAAAUUCAAGAAAAAUAAACAAAUAAACAUAACAUAAAAAACAUUAUAACAAUUGAUAAACAAAAGGCAAAGCUUAGUCCAUUAGUCCCCAGUGGAGUCGCCAUUCUGUCGCACCCGACAUCGCGGCGGCCUUAAAAAUUAAUUAAUCUUUGGAAAGAACGGAUUUCUGGCAUCCUGUUCUUUAAUGUGGAUAUUCUUGUUUAAGGAGUCGCCACCUAGUAUUAUGGUCACUAGGAACCCUAACUGGUCAACAGAGAUUCUAUGGUUCGGGACUGGUUACGUAAAAGGGAAGAUAUUAUCACCCCUUAAACGUCCUGCCUGAGGCAGGCUGCAUUGCUAGUUUCGUCUUAAAUUGCUAAAUGUUUAUUUUUUGUUAUGAAAAUUUGCUUAUAAUAUUCCUGACUCUGGCGCAGUGAAUAUUAACUACGAAUAAUUUCCAACUCUGGCGUUGAUAAAUAUUACGUAGCUUAAAAUAAAUUUAAAUCAAUAUUUUUUAUUCCCGACGUAGCUAAAAAAAAUAAAUGUAAAUCAAAUGGUUUUUUUUUUAUUCCCGACUCUGGCGCCAGUGAAUAAAUAAAUAAUACUACAUUCAUUUUUACGCAUGCAUAUAUUUUUUAUUUUUCUAGCUAAAAUAAAAUAAAAUACAACGAAUAAAAAUAAUAUAAAUUUAAACCGGUAUUCUUAUUCCUGACUCUGGCGUCAGUGAAUUAACCAAUAAAUUUACAUUAUUUUUAUUCAUCCAAAUAAAAUAAAAUACAACGAAUAAAAAUAAUAUAAAUUUAAACCGGUAUUUUUAUUCCUAACUCUGGCGUUAGUGAAUAAACCAAUAAAUUUACAUUAUUUUUAUUUAUGCAUACACAUUUUUUUUUAUUUUUUUGGGUUGGGCCCGGCCCGGCCCAGCUCAGCAUUUAUUUUUGGGCUGGGCCCAGCUCAGCCUAUAUGGGCUGGGCUAAGCCCAGCAGCCCGGCCCGGCCACUGGCCGGGCAAAAAUCAACCAGAAGCACGCGUGCUGUAUACUGUGCAAAGGUAAUUAAAAUUACCUUCGCACAGUAACAACCUUAUUGUAUCUGCGAAAACGAAAGAGAAUUCAAUGAAAACUAAAGAAAGCUUACCUGCUCUGCUGGAGUGCUGCUGUUUUGGGCGAAGAUCUGUGAAGGCGUUCCUCCUGACGAAACUGGAAUUCCUUCUACCCUUUGCUUUCCUGCCCUCUGCUUCUUCUUCUCUCGGUAGUUCGUCUCCCCUCUACUUCUGGUUGUCCGUUCGUUCUCCCCUGUGUUUUUUCCGUUAUCUAUGUGCUGCGUGUGUUUUGUUCUCGGUGUUUCUGUCUUUUUUGUUCGCUUCUCCUAGACUUCCUCUUCGUUUUCUGGGUUUUCUCCCUGCUUCAUCCCCCACUGAUUUUCGUUUCCAUCCCCUCUGUUGCUGGUCUGUUCGUCCUGGGUUUUUUCUGGGUUCCCGUUUUAUGUUGGGUUUUUCUUCCCCUGGUGUCCUUGCCUCUUCGGUGUUUUUUUUCGUUUCUGGUAUUUUGCUCUCUUUCUCUCCCCUCCUGUCAACCUGGUUUCGGUUCCCUUUUUAUAGAGCUCGAGAGCUGCCCCCCUAAAUCAAUCCCAUCUUUGCAGGACUGUUAUUCAAAUCACGAGAGGGAUCAUGGGCAAGAGACGUGGUCCACGAUCGGAUCAAAUUUGUUGCAGAUCUUCAGCCUUUUGAACCGGGAUGGAGACGACGAACACAGCUGUUCCCAGCAACGACGACGUUUUCAAGCAACCCGUGGACAUUUUCAAUUUGACCCCUGAACUUUGGAAAUUUCGCAAUUGGACCCCUAAGCAAAUAAAAAUUUCUUUCAAUUUUGCCCUUUUUGGAUAAAUUUCAAUUAAGUCCCUGAAUUUAUUUAAUUAAUUAAAUCAAAGUUUUAAUUAAGUCCACAAACUUAUUAAUUCUUCUAAUUUCAUUAAUUAAACUAAUCUAAACUUUAAGUAAAUUUCCAAACUUAUUAAUUCUUUAAUUUCUGACCAAUUUAUUCUCAAAUCUCAUAAUUUUAUCCCUAAAUUUCAAAAUUUGUUGUCUUAACCCCAUUGUCAACUAUAUUUUAUUAUUUGUUCAAAAAUUGGGUUAUGACAAGCCUUACUAACAAAGCCCUGAGGUUGUGUCAUAUAAACCUCCUCAUGAAGAAUGCCAUGCAAGAAGGCAUUCUUCACAUCAAGUUGCCGCAAGGACCAAUGAAAGUGAGCUGCAAGGGCAAGAGCUAGGCGAACAGUGGUGGGUUUCACCACAGGGCUGAAGGUUUCUCCAUAGUCAAUACCCUCCUCUUGACUAAACCCCUUAGCCACUAACCGAGCCUUAUGGCGAGCAAUAGAACCAUCAGCAUGCUUCUUCAGCCGGUAGACCCAUUUACAGCCAACAAGAUUUCUGUCAGGUGGCAAAGCAACAAGGUCCCAAGUACCUUGGGCAUGAAGAAGAGAAAAACUGGAGUUUUUGAAGAAGAGAAUCUGUUUAGGCAAUAUAUCAAAUACCUGAUGGGCACAUCAAUAAGUACACAAGAAUUUUUAUGAAGAAGAUGAGAAUAAAGCUAGAAUUCAGACAUCAAUGGCCAAAAGAUCAAGAGUUACACAGCUCUGAUACCAUGAAGGAAUUAGCAAUUUAUAUAGAAAUGUAAUAGAAAUGAAGAAGAGCAAAGAGUAUAAAGGAAGAAGAACAGAGAAUCAAACUGUUAGUAUAGAAGCAGAAGACGAAUUCUAGCACUGUUGUAUAUUUGCUUUUGCUUAACUAUUACAUUCAUUAUUCUUUGUUUAUAUAUGCAGCAUAGAAAGAUACUAUACGGAGAAAUAUGCAUGCUAACAGAUUCUCCUUUAACAAAUAAUGCUAACAGCUUUGUAACCAUAGUUUUGAAACCCGGAUCGACCCGGGCAUGGGACCGGUCCGGGUGGAGGCCAAAACCCGCUUGGGAAUUGGCCCGGCCAGACCCGGUCGACCCGGGACCCGGUUGACCCGGCAAGACCCGGUCAAGACCCGGCCGUAAACCCGUUGACUUUUUGUUUUUUUUUACUAAAAUGACGUCGUUUUGAUAUUUUUUUUAAAAAUUAAAAAAUAAAUUUUGACCCGGCAACCCGGUCAAAACCCGGAACCCGGGCCUUGGACCGGGCCGACCACCGGGCCGGGUUUUAAAACUAUGUUUGUAACAAUAUUAAUUGCUAAUCUUCUGACACUUGGCAGCAUUAGGAUCGUUGAUAUCUUUACACUUGCUUCCAACUUCAAAAAAAAUUAAGUUUCACAUUAGAGUGACUACUUACCUGAACAUAAAUGUCAAAAACACGCCAGCCUAAGCUGUUAUAUGUAUGGUCAUUAGUGAACUGUAUCUCUUCAAAGUGAAGGUUUACUGUGUAGCUCCCAUUUUGUAAGCAAUAAUGGAAAUAGGUAAGAGAAAUUGGGGAUAUGCGAGCUGUUUGGUAUAAUUCAGGGAUGGUUGAUGAUUGCAGAGAUACAGUAUAACGAGUAUUUUGGUAAUCAUAAUCAUCCAUAAAGUUCCCAGUGCUACUGAAACCCCAGAAGCUUUGGUCAUUUACAAAAUAUUUAGCUGCACCACCUUCUAUUUGUCCAUCUCCUUCAUAUGACAAGGUUGUUUUGUUUUCAUUGAUAGUUAUGUCCUUUCCACCACUGUUAACAUGUAAACAGUUUGAAUCUGCCCACAAAGAAAUAAAAUGAGAGCAGAUAAAAGACAUUUGAACAUUUUAUUUAGUCCAUUGUUCCAGUCUACGUUAGUUGAUUGAAGUACAUUGUUUACUUAUUACAGCCGAAUGUGUUAUUACACCUGUGCAGGCUGAAACAGUAACUAUUAUACCCAGUUUAUUAAUGAAAAAGCAACCAUUUUUUGCAGUUGUGGUUAGGACAUAGACAAUCCUAUAUGUCAUUGUAGCUUUUCUGCAUGAGAUAUAACACUUUUAAAGGAAAAACACUGCAUUUACUAUGAAUAUAAAAUCAUUGCACUACGAAUCAUGCUAUAGAGAUAGUGUGUUUGUCCUGUAAAUGACAUUGCAGUGUCAUGAAGGCAUUAUCUUUACUGCUUUUUAGUCAAAAAAAUAUUAUUAAGAGUGUUAUGUUUUUUGUUUUUUGUGCCAAAAGUUGUUGGGUCUAGUUAUAAAAGUGUUGGGUUUGGCUUGGCAGCUAGACCCAAUGCUAUUGGAUUCGACUUUCAGCCACACCCACCAAUUUUAGGUCUGUCUGGGCCGUCAUAUAUUUUCUUAUUUAUUUUUUAUGGGAUUAUCACAAUCUUAUGACUCGGGACGAGAAUUUAACAGGUUAACCUGAGUUAAUCCGAGUCAAUCUAAUAUAUUUGUUUCUCAAUAUUUAUAAAAAAAAUUAUCAUUUUGAAUUUUUCAAGCGCGACAGUUACAACCAGAUACUAGCUAAAUUAUUGUUCAAACCUAUUAAAAAGUUUAGAAGACACUUGCAAAUAAACAAUCACACCAAAAGACAAAUAAGAAAUGAUGAUAAAUAAAUAAAAAGAAUUAAUUAAUAAUAUCACGGAAUUACCCAGAUUCAAAUUUAAAAUCACAAUCAAUUGAGUCCCAGUAAGCAACUAAUUUCGUUCACUCUCUCUCUCUCUCUCACUAAACCUUUCUUAGUUAUUUUAUUCUGAUUUUAUUUUUAUCCUCUUCUAAUUUUGUUUAUUUUUAUACUUAAUAAUUGAACAUGUUAAUGUUUUGACAAAAACCCUAUAUUUAUUUAUGCAAUCUACACAGAAUAGAAAACACGUCAUCACUUUCUCAAUGAAUGUUAGCAAAAGUACUCCAUUAAUAACAUUUCAAAAAGGAGGAAAGAGAGAAAGAAAUGAGAGAAUAAGGCAGGUUCAACCGAGCUCAAACAGAGGGAGAAUGAGAGAAAGAGGAGAGGAAAUGAGAAAGAAAAGAGAGGAGAAGAGAGGUCCAAAGUCGAAGAGAGGAUAAAUGAGAGAAGAGGAAAAGGAAAGGGAGGAAGAAAUGUGAGAAGAAAGCAGGCCCAACCAGUGUAAUUAAUCACUACAUUAAUAUAAAUUGUCUGACUUGUUUAAAAAACCACUCUAAAAUUUACAGAGAGGUAUUGAUUUAGUGGACCAUUAUUUUUGAUGGAUAGUUUUUGGUUUGAAAUUUUUUUAAGUGAAAUAUUAUCAGAUUUAUUUAGCUAAUAAACAUAAUAUCUUAAUAUAUUUGAUUUUUUUAUAUAUAAAUCAAGAUAAUAGUAGUAGUAUGAAUCUUGACCUCGUAUUUUCUUUGGUUCUCCUAGUUGCAGGUUGGAAGAUGUUGAAAUUUAAAAGAUAAGAAGGCAGACACGUAUCGAGGCAUUUGAGCCACAAAUUUAUUGACUACGUACAAGCUAUGUUGAAUGAUUAACGUCGGCUGCUAAAAAGCAUUUUCAUGUAAAAGAAAAGUCUCAUAUACUUUUCAAUUUAUUGUGCACUAAAAGAGACCCACAUUGCUUGAAGUCCAUUCCAAACUAGUGGUGCACUGAGAACCAAGGUUGUCAAUUCCGUUCCGUUCCGUCUAGAAUGACCAAAACAUUCCAUACCAAUUCAACAAAUGGAACAAAACGGAAUAAAUUUCAUCUCAUUUUAAAUCUUGGUCCGUUCCGGAUUUUUUGGCUAAAUUCCGCCCGAAACGUUCCGGUUUCAUUCCACGUGUUUCGUUCCGCUCUUGAAAAGCCAUUAAAUCAAAUUGAACCUUGCUCAAUUUCAUUAAUUAAACCACCCGAUUAUAAAAAGCUCUUUUUCAUUACUAUUUUCAAUAGCAAUGAUAUUAAUAAUAAUAUUGAAAAUUAUUAUUACUACAAUGAUAUUAAUUUUUUUAAAAUUAGAUUUAUCACUAAUAUAUAUGGUUUAUAUUCAUGUUAUUUUUUUUCAUGUUUAUACUUUGUAGGAAUUUGAGCAAAAUAAGGGAUGUUUUAGAUUCAUUAGCCACAUGAUAACAUUGACCUAACUUUAUAUUUAAAAUAUUUUUGUUGUUAAAACAUUUUACUUUCAUAAUAUUUUGAUAUUUUGUUUAAGUUGAAUUACUUUAAGUUAAAGAUCUAUUUAAUCUUGACUAUUUAGAAAUAUUUUAAAUUUUGAAAUUAUAUUUGUUUGUCAUUGUGUUUGUAUUGUAUAAUUUAUAAUUAAUUUAUCUUGAAUUCGAAUUAUGUUUGUUGAAUAUAUAUAUAUAUAUAUAUAUAUAUAUAUAUAUAUAUAUAUAUGAACAGUACAACCCCAAAACGGCACGCCGAAACACUCCAAAACUGAAACAUUCCAUUUCAAUUGGAAAAACGAAACACCUACCGAAACGGAAUUGACAACCUUGCUGAGAACUUCAUCAUCAAUUACUGUGAAAAAAAGAAGUAAUAGAGGUACAAUGGUCGUGAUCACACUUGGUUUUGAUAAGAUGAGUUGAAAAGUUUGAAAGACUUGCUGUAUACUUACAAGACCUCACUGAUCGGAUCUCAAUAUAUAUUACUGUGAAAACAAAGUAAUAUAGUGCUAGCAAGGUUGUUCUUACCUUCUCCUGGAUGUAGCUCGAGAAACUGAUCAAUAUCACCAUAACUUGGCAAAGCUGAAACAUCAUUAACAUCUUGUGCCCAAAAUUGGCUAGAAAAGCUCGAAUCAGUUUUCAAAAAAAACAUAUUUUUGUGUUUUUUGAAAUUAGGAAAAAAAAAUUGAAUUUUUAUUUUGAAAUUCCAGAGAAAAAUAAAAUAUUUUUGAUAUCGGGUUUAUAUCUUAUAGUGUAAGUCUACAAUCUAAUAUUAGGCAAAAACUAUUUUCAAAAACACGUGAAGAACCCACUAAUAAUUUCAAAAUGGUCAUUGAAUUUGUUUUUUAGAAUCUUCUUUUUGAAAUUUUUAAGGGCCUCUUUUACUAAACCCCAAAAUAAAUACAAAUUUAAACAAAAAAAAAAAUUAGGGCAGGAUUGCCAAAAGCGUUCUUAGCCUAAAAUUAGAGACAUUAAAAUUUCUUAAGGUUGUGUUUGGCAACAUGCCUUAAGGAUCCAAACAAAGCCUUAUUUCCUUGACAAAAUUGAUUGGCACAAGUCAAAGGACCUUUAGCUUUUGGGUUUGGCUUAGCCUAGCCACAUGGGUUGGGCCUAUUGGGUUGGCUUGAGGCCGAAACCCCUACAUGCGGGUUGGGCUUAAGACCUACCCAACUUGAUUUUUGUUGGGCCAAAAUAUGUCCCAAAAGGCUUUUGUCUUAUAAACCUAUCCUAACCACAAGGUGAUAGGACCUUAAGUCAAGAAGAAAUGAACAUUCAAAAUCUUGCUUACAAAUUGUCUUCAGGACCUUAAGUCCAAUAUACAAAAAUCUUUAAACUAAGGUAAACACAUUCCAACUAGGAACAUGAAGGUUUUUUUUUCCCCAACUAAUAACCACACAAAACAUGGUUCAAUUUAGCUAAGGAAAAACUCUUGUCCUUUAAAUUCUAUAUUGGCUAUGAACUCGUAAAUAUUCUUAUUAUAUUGCUCACAUCUUAUAAGCCUUAAAAUUUCACCCCCUUCCAAUAUAGCUAAAUAUAUUUCUUGCUAGCAUAUCUUAUUUUUAAGUUCAACUCAAAAUCAAAACUCAUGAAUUAUAUGCAAGCAACACAAUUAAGGUUAAUAAAAUAAUGUCACACGAAAUUGUCUCAUCAAUAAUAAUCUUCAUAACUUUACUAGUUCAUAUCUUUUCCCAUAUCUUUGAUCUAAUUUGGCCACAUCAUAGGACUAGAGCCUCACAUUUAUUCUUAUUACGAUAUGAUCUAUGUCUUAGCAUGGUGGGUUGCAAAGAUCUUUAUUGUUUGUUUAUCAACAUGAUCUUCCUUACUAAUGAUUCCAACAUUAAGUUUCAACCACUCUUUUAAUGUUACGGAGAGAAGAUAAUUUUCUAACACCACUAUCAUCAUCUUAAGCAUUAAGUUGGUGCAAUUAUGCACACUUCUUCCCGUUAUGAUUGUCACAUUUGGACAUCGCGACAACCCGAUUAAAUAAUUUUCAAGGAAAAAGAAUAGAUAUCUGACAUCUUGUUCUUUAGGAGAAAAAAAUCUUAUUUAAGAAGUUGUCACCUAGUAUUAUGGUUAUUAGAAACCCUAAUUGGUUAACAUAGAUUCUAUGGUACGGGACUGCUUACGCGAAAGGAAAAAUACUAUUACCCCUUAAGCGUCCUACUUAAGGCAAACUGCAUUGCUGGUUUUGUCUUAAAUUACUAAAAGUUUUUUUUAUUAUGCUUUUCAUGGUCUGCCUAGGAUAUUCCUGACUCUAGCGUAAGUGAAUACUCGACUACAAAUAUUUUCAACUCUAGCAUUAGUAAAUAUUACGCAACCCAAAAAGUAUAGCAUUCCUAACUCUAAUGCUAGUGAAUAAACCCAUAAAAUUUGGAUUAAAAGAAAAAAAAAACUAUUUUUAUUAUAUUUUUUAGGGGGCUGGAUCGAGCCUAUGUUGGAUCCAAUUAGCCCGACCUAAUUAGCUUGACCUGGUCACUGGCCCAAGCCAAUGACCCGGCUGGUCACUGUUGCAUGUAUGCGUGAACUAUUCACGUAUGUUGUGCAUUGUGCGAAGGUAAUUUUAAUUACCUUCACACAAUGUCAAAUACAAAUUACAAAGCAAAAAGAACAUGCCUAGUUCUAGAGACGAGAGGGUGUUUAGAAGUGUGGUAACGCUUGCUUUCCAAUGUGAUUUUCAUUCUAUAAUACAUUAAAAUAUUUUAAAAAAAAAAAAUUAUUUUUGACAACAACACCUCAAAAUGAUAUGAAAACAUCAAAAAAUAUUAAUUUAAAGCAAAUAAAAAAAUUCAAUUUUUUUUUUAAAACACUUCUAAAAUGCAAUGCCAAACAUUAUUUAUUGUUUCUCGUUCACUUCCCCUAUGUUCUCUCUUUUGGUCUCCUAUUCUCUCUAUUUCUCUGCUUGCUAUGUUAUCUCUUUUGGUCUCCUUUCGCUCCCUCUGUCCCUGUGUUUUCGUCCGUUUUUUUUGUCUCUCUAGUAUUCUUCUGUCGUCCUGUACCCAUAGGCGGAGCCUUGUAGAAGGCUAAGGAGGGCUGUAGCCCAGGGUAAAAAAAAAAUUAAAAGUCCACUUUUCCUUUUAAGUUUUAGACAGCAUACUUAUACUACACUUUUCCUAUAUUGCAAACCUAAUAUCCCACUUUUCCUUACAAUACAUAGCCAUUAGCCGCCACUUUAGUUUCCCUAGCAAGCCACCCACCUUUCCUUGCAAGUUGCAAUACUAAUUAAUUAUUAAACUUUAUAGCAAAUUUAUUUAAAUAUAAAUAAUUAAUUAGUUUACAUAUCUUCAAAAUAACUUGGGAUUUUAGCUAUUUUUCUUCUCAACAAUAUACAAUUUUAGCUUGAAUUUUGAAGAAGAAUCUAUACAAAGAGCCGCAAGAGUGUAAAAUCAUCAGGUAAGAAUUUACAAACUAUGACUUUUCAUUUUAAAUUAAAUGUUUCACAUUCAUUACAGUAGAUUGUUAAUGGAGUAAACAAUAGACUGUACCCUAGAAAUUGAUGCAUGUUAACACACUAGUAGUCUAGUACUAAUAAUUUACUAGUUAUUUCAAAGUUAAGUUCUCCAAAUCUCCCAGUAGUUUGCAUCACUAGUUUAUCCUUUUAUAUUCUGCAUUUUAUGAAUAUUUUAUUGUGGCAUUAGUAUCUUUUCAUCUUGCACCUGAUUUCCCUAAUCCCUUUUACUUGAAUAGGUUAUAAAUUAUAAUGGAAAAUCAAGGGAACAAGAGAGGAAAAACUAUGUUUUCAUUCUUUAAACCAAACGAACAAACAUCAACCAGUAAAGGACAUUCUCCUUCCAAUGUUGAUGUGUCAAAUCGUAGUGAACAACCCCCUUUCAAAUCUCAAAGAGUUGAAAUUGAUGUUAAUACUCUUGAACGAGAUCCUAGGUUACGAAUUCCAGUGUGGAAACAUCCUAUUAAUCAACAAGAUGAAAUUAGAAGAGCUUAUAUCAAAAUGGGUCCAUAUCAACCUAAGUUAGCAGAGUAUCCAAGGACUGAAUUAGGGAGACAGUAUCGUCGAUUUCAAUACACUUGGUUUGAUCAAUUUCCUUGGCUAGAGUACUCUCCAUCAAAGGAUGCAAUAUUUUGUUUUCCAUGCUUUAUCUUUGAAAACAAAGUGCCUCGUCAUCUCACAUUCACCACCGAAGGCUUUAGAAAUUAGAAAAGGGUUAAUGAUGGGGUCAGAUGUGCACUUUUGAUGCAUGUGGGAAGUCCAACUUCACCAUAUAAUAAUGCUGUGAAAUCUGCUGAAGAUUUAAUGAAAGUAACUAGACAUAUUGAUAAAGUGUUGAAUGCACAAACUGUUGAAGAAGUUCAGAAAAAUCGGUUGAGACUUAUGACAACAAUUGAAAGUGUUCGAUGCUUAGCUUACAAGCAUGUGCAUUUAGAGGUCAUGAUGAAUCUUCAGCUUCUAAUAAUCGAGGUAAUUUUUUGGAGAUGAUAAGACUUAUGGGGAGACUUAAUGUUGACAUUGAUGAUGUUGUCUUAGAAAAAGCUCUGAAAAAUGCAAAGUAUACCUCACCGACUAUUCAAAAAGAGAUUUUGCAAAUUCUUGCGAACAAAGUGAGGAAAAAGAUUUGUGAAGAAGUUAGAGAUGCAAAGUUAUGUAUUUUGGUUGACGAAGCGAAAUAUGCAUCAAAUAAAGAACAAAUGGCUAUUGUUUUGAGAUUUGUUGACAUUCAGGGUUUUGUACGAGAGCGUUUCUUUAGUAUUGUGCAUGUUUCAGAUACUACUUCUUCAACACUUAAAAAAGAAAUUUGUGAUGUGCUCGCUCGAUAUAACUUGCAUAUUUUCAAUAUGCGAGGUCAAGGGUAUGAUGGUGCUAGCAAUAUGCGUGGCGCAUGGAAUGGACUACAAGCUUUAUUUCUCAGAGAUUGUCCUUAUGCAUAUUAUGUACAUUGCUUUGCUCACCGACUACAACUGGCAUUAGUUGCAGCAGCUGGAAAUGAGAUUUCUAUUUGGUUAUUUUUCUCAAAAUUGACAACCAUUAUCAACCUUAUUUGUGCUUCUCCCAAACGUCAUACCGAGUUACAUUAUGCUCAGGCUAUAGAAAUUGCACAUAUGGUAGCUACUGGAGAAUGUGAGACUGGUAGAGGGGCUAAUCAAAUUGGUAAUUUACAUCGAAGUGGAACUACUCGCUGGAGCUCUCAUUUUGAUUCUAUUUGCAGCUUAAUAGAUAUGUAUGGUGCAACUAUUAUUGUGCUUGAAAGUAUGGUUCAAGAAGGAUCUUCUAAUUCUAUACGUGGAGAAGCUGGUGGCUGUUUGAUUGUGAUUAAAUCUUUUGAAUUUAUAUUCAUCUUAUAUUUGAUGCAUAAAAUAAUGGGGAUUACUGAUUUACUUUGUCGAGCUUUGUGUUGUAACCCAUUUUUGGGUCCCCGCAAAAAAAAAAAUACAAUAAAAUAAAAAAUAAUAAUAAUAAAAAAAUAAUAAUAAAAAAUAAAUAAAUUGCCAAAGGAGGUUAGAGAAAUAACAAGGGGGGAAGCGCUCAGAAAAUGGUCAGAAAAUUGGUCCAGGAGGUUAAAAAUACAAAGAUUGGAUUUUUGACAGUAUAUUCUUGAAGGAUGAGAGCCCUAUUUAGAAGGAAAAUUUGAAUUUUUGAGGAAAAAGCCUAAAUUUGGAGGUUUAUGGACAUGAUUGGAUUUUUAAUGGGAUUGUUAGGGGUUUUGAUUGCGAGAAAAAUUGAUUUUUAAAUCAAUUUGGGCUUUAGUUAGAAGAAAUUUAAGUUCUGGGGCCAAAAUAUAUUUUUUAGGAAUUUAUUAGGCCAAAUCAGGGGCUUAAUUGCAUGAAUUUUGAAGUUUAAUGGCCAAUUAGGGGUUUAAUUGCGAAAAUCCGAAACCAGGGACCAAUUUGGAAAAGGCGCGAAUAUAGAGGGAGCUGUAUUGAAUUGAUUCAGGGGCCUAAUUGAAGAAAUUAGAAGUUUAUUGAUCAAUUAAGGGCUAAAUUGCAUAAAUCAGAGGCCAAGGACCAAAGUGAAAAGCGCGGCCAACUAUGGGGGCAGGGACCGAAAUUGGUAGGGACGCAAUUGAAAAGAAAAAGAUGAUUGAGGGCUGAUUUGGAAUUUAGCGCGUUCUGGCGCCAUUUUUAAAUGAAACGGCGCAUUUUAUCCAAAACGACGUCGUUUCAUACUUAAAAAAAAAAAAAAUAAUAAAAACAGAAAAGGGCUAAACGGCGCCGUUUUGAACGACACUGUUCCCCUUUCUUCCCCGCCUAACAUACAGCAGUAAAGAAGGAAAAAAAAAAAAGAAUGUAUAUUUUAUGGCGUUGGUCCCUCCAGCCCACCGAUUGGCCGACCACCUACCGCACCGCCGAAACUGAGGGAGGCACGCCUGGACAGCCACGCCCGACCAGCCGCCGUAUGACCCCACGAUGAGAAGAAAAAAAAAACACAUGCACGGGCUAUAAAUGGAGGAAGAACAGCAGAAGAAAAAAGAAGAAAAAAAGAAGAAGAGAAAAACAGAGGGGAGAGCUGACAGAUUAUUGAAAGAAAACCGUGAGGGAGAGAGAGAGAACCAAGCUUUUGGAGAGGGACCGAAAGGGAGAAGAAAGCUGAGAACAACGUGAGAGAGGGGUUGUAGAGGAAGGAAACUGAAGAAGAAGACAGAGGAAGAAGAGUAGCAGAACAGAGAGAGGGAACAACGAAAAAACUGACCCAAGGUGACGGUGAACAGAAACAGAGGAGAGAGAGAAAGAGGACAGCCGCCGACUACGCCGCCUCCGCCGCCUCCGCCGCCUCCGCCGCCGCCAGCGUCGCCACCGUUCCAGGUACUCGUCUUCCCCCUGUUGCCUUUCGUUUAUACAUUCAGUGGUUUUUUUUUCAUUCUUUGCAUGCAGAACGUGAAUCACGUUCUGCAGCAAAGAAUGAAAAUAAUUCGGUAGUUACUGUGCUGGGCACAGUAACUACCUUAUUAUUUGCUGGUUACUGUGUGGCUAACACAGUAACCAGCCUUUUGGUUGGUGGGCUGGAACAUCAGCCCAGCCCACGCGGCUGGGCUGAGUCCAGCCCACAGUAUAUGGGCCGGGUCAGGCCCAUCCCAGGAUGGAUGGGCUAGAUCCGGCCCAGUUUUUAUUUAUUUAUUUUUGUUAAUUAAAUUGGUUUUUUUUUUGUUUUUUUGUAAUUUUACAAGUUUCCCGUGUAUUUUUGAUUAAUAUCAAGCAGCAUUUUUUUAUGUUGGGAAAAAAUAUAAAUCCGGUAUUAAAAUACCCCGUUUUCGGUACUGUUCACCCGCCCAUUCAAAAAAAAAAAUCAAAAAAUAUUUGUUUCAUUUAUAAUUUUUCCGCGUAAUUUUUUAUGUCAUUUUGAUUAAUAUUGGGUGAUAUGUUUUUUAUGUUGUUAAAAAUACAAAAAUCUGAUUUUCAAAUUCCCGGUUUUCGUCAAAAAAAUUUUUCCACAAGAUAAAAAAAAAAAAAAAAAGAAAAAAAAAUGUUUUUGUGCAUACGGCCAAGUGUCUCAAAGCUAAAAUUUAUAUUGUAUUUUUAAUACACAAAAAAAAAAAAUGUUUUAGCAUGCAUUUUGGCUUUAAUAACCAGUUUAUUAAAGUCAAGAGAAUAUUGGCCAAUAUUUCAAAAACAACAAAAAUUUUAUUUUUUGGACAAUAAAACCUGGGGUAUGACAUUACACGUAAUGCAUAUUCCGGAUAUUUAAUUUUUAUUUUUUGGACAAUAAAACCUGGGGUAUGACAUUACACGUAAUGCGUAUUCCAGAUAUUUAAUUCUUUUUUUUGUUUGGACAAUAGAACCCGGGGUAUGACAUUACAUGUAAUGCAUAUUUUGGACAAUAGGAAACCACAACAUGACUUAGAUUUUAUUAGACAAAACAAUGCAGCCUACCUUAGGUAGGGCGUAGUUGGGGUGCUAACACCUUCCCUUUACGCAACCAGUCUCCGUACCUGAUCUCUCAAGACCAGUAAGGGUUCCUAGUAACCAGAAUACUAGGUGGCGACUCCCGAUCCAUUUUUUAGCUUAGAGACAAAGAACUCCUUGUCUCACCAUAUUUUCCAUGCCAGAUAGACACAUACUACACCCUCAUGAAGGGUUGGGGUGGACGAUCGCCGCGCCGCCGCACACGUGCGACACUUUGCAGCAAAAAUCUCUUGACAUCUUAAAUGCAAUGGAUCUUGUAUUAACUACUAAAGUAUUGCUUCAAACUUUGAGAGAUGCCGGAUUUGAUCUUCUCCUUGCAAAUGUGCAAUUUGUUUGCACAAAGUAUAAGAUUGACAUACCACAUAUGAAUGCUUCGUAUAAAAAAGCUACAGGUCGUUCAUGUCAACAACAAGGUUCAGUGACAGUUUACCAGCAUUAUCAUUAUGAUACAUUUAACUCAACAAUAGAUUUUCAGUUGGAAGAAUUAAAUUCUAGAUUCAAUGAUGAGUCAGUGGAACUCCUUGUACUUAGCUCUGCUUUAGAACCUAAAGACAACUUUAAAUCAUUUAAAGUUGAUGCUAUUUACAAGCUUGCUGAGAAAUUUUAUCCUGAAGAUUUCAAUGAACAAGAGAUGUAUUAUUUGAGAUCUCAGCUAGAGCAUUAUUAGAUUGAUGUGAUUCAUCAUGAGAGCUUUCAGAAUAUAUCUACCAUUUCUGAAUUAUAUCGAGGAUUAGCUGAAACAAAUAAGUCGCAACACUAUCAUUUGAUUGACAGGUUGAUUCGUCUUGUUUUGACUUUGCCUGUUUCCACUGCCACUACAGAGCAGGCAUUUUCAGCUAUGAAACAUGUUAAAACUGUGCUUCGCAAUAAAAUGGAAGAGGAGUUCUUAGUAGAUUCUAUGAUGAUUUACAUUGAACGAAAGCUUGUUAAAGAUAUUGAUUCGGAUUCGAUCAUAGAUGAAUUCUAUUCUACAAAACAUCGAAGGGUGCAGCUUUGAUCGUGUAAUUUAUUUUUAUUUUUAUUUUGAAUUUUAUAUACUUUAAAUUUUAUUUUUUAUAUAUUUUAUGUUAUGUAUUUGAAUUAAAACUUUAUUGUUAACUUGACAAAUUUAUAUAUCCAAGUGAAUGGUUGAUCUUAAAAAGUAAUUUAUGUGUAUUUAUAUCAUAGCUCACGAUAAGAAAAAUUCCUGGCUCCGCCCUUGCCUGUACCUGUGUUUUCAUUCCUUCUCUUUCGUGUCUAUCUUCUCCUCUGUUCUUUCUGUGUUUGUUUCUGUUUUGUCUUUUGUCUUUCAGUUCGUCCUCUCGGUUUCUUCGUUCUCUGGUUUUUUUUUGGUGUGGCCUUCUCCUGGAAUGCUCUGUUUCUGGUGCAGUAGCUACUGAAAUUGGAGACCUAGCGUAAGGGCGUCCCUGCUGGUGAUCCUAGAGGCUGAUUUUCAGCUGAGGAGAAGAACUCUCGGAGUUUACAGGUUACUGCUAUUGCUGGUUGGAGGCUGGUGUUCAGCUCUGCUAUGGUUGAUGAGGAAUGGUAUUAUAGCUGCGCCUGUGGUGAUUGACCCGGCAGCCUUUAUGGUAUUCUUGUUGGGUGACUGAUCUACCGUGACAAUGAUUUAUGGACUGGUGCAGUCGCUGGUUGGAGCUGCUGCCAUUGGGAGAAGAGAGAUGGAGCAGCGCCGGUUGAGACGUGGAGGAACUGGCCACGGGGGAGAAAGCUGCGACCUUCGGUGAUGGCUCAAUGACCUGUAAUGGUUCUUAGUUUAAGAAAAGGUUGUGGUGGCCAUUUUUUGUUAGGGUUGCUCAGCCAUGCAACCGAUUGGGCCUUUUUAUUAUUAUUAUUAUUUAUUCUUCUACUUGGGUUUUCUUGCAAUGUAUUCCCCCAAAGGUUUCGUGUUAUGGUCUCUCCCUUCUUGUGCAUGUGGAGAUUUGAAUUUAGAGUGAAAGAAUUUUACUGUGUAUGAGAAAUAAAAUCCAAAAUAAAUUUAUUAUUAUUUUUUUAAAUUUAAAUUUGAUUAAAAAUCAAUUUUGAAAAUGGAUAAUUAUUAUUAUCUUGAUGAUAAUAAUAAAAUAAUUAAAAUAUAUUAUAUUCUCUAAUUUUUAUGCAAGUUGACAAACCAUAUUUUUUUAUCAAAACAAAUCUCAGAUUUUUUAACUUUAUAUUUUACCUCCUAUAAAAUUAAAUUAAAAACUAAUUGGCUAAAAUUAGAUUAUAACAAUGAUCAUCCCGUAUGUAUACCCUUUACCAUUAAUCCCUUUUAAAGUUACAAAGUCCACUAGAACACAAUCACCAUUAAUCCCUUUCAAAUUCACAAAUUCCAUUUCAGUACUCUAAAACCAAAUAUAACAAACCGUGAUUUCAUAAGUAAUUAAGACAAUAAUUCAGCAUCACAUACAUGAAAAUAUGGUCAUUUGUUUUAUCAUUUACCAACUCAUCAUGAUAAAAUUUUCCAUUUUAUAAUUACCUCAAAUGAGUAAAUCCUUUUUCCCUUUUACUUUUCAUUUACACUAACUUUUUUCCACACUUUAACAUAUGUUUCAUUUUUUAUUCACAACUUUCACAUUUUUAGUCUUAGUGACUUCCUUUCUUAUAUGAAUCCACCUUAUAAGAAUUUAAUUUUUCUUUAGCCUUUCAUUUAGGAUUACCAAGUCCAAUUGUUUAUAAUAUUCACUGGCAAGAUAGAAUGUUAUAUAAUGAUAUCUAACAUAGUGGAACAUUCAUUUAAUAUCCACUUCUUUUUAGCAUAAUUUACUCGAACAAACCUCGUUUCCUUAGGAAAUAUCCAUAUUACUUAUUUAGACCCUUUUUUAUAAUACUAUGGUUUUUAGGUAGACUUGCUCGAUUAUUAAUUAAAUUUUGAUAAAGCUUUUUCUAUAUAGAACUCAAUCUAAAAUUUUAUUUGUAUAAUAACCUAUAAAAAAUAUUGUUAUCCAUUUUUGGAUUCCCACACAAAAAAUAAGAAAAUACAAAAAAAAAUAUUCGGAAGAAAUCCAAAAAAAUAAUAGAAGCAAGAAAAGAAUGAUGGAAUGCCGAAGAAAAGUCAAAAUUGGUUUAGGAGGUUCAAAAAUGCAAAAAGUUAAAAUUUAACAGUAUAUUUUUUACUGAUGAGAGCCUUGGAGACAAAGAAAAUUUAAUUUGAAAAAGAAAAGUUCAAAAUAAGUUGUUUAUGGACUCAAUUAAAUUUUAUCUAAGGUUUAAUUGGAUUUAUAGAGGGUUUGAUUGCAAGAAAAUCGAUCUUUUAAGUCAAUUUAGGUUUUUAUUAGAAGAAAUUAAAGUUCUGGGGUCUAAUUAUAAUUUUGAAGAGUUGAUUUGGUCAAAUCAAGGGCUUAAUUGCAUAAUUAUUGAUGUUUAAUGGUCAAUUAGGGAUUUAAUUGAUCAAAACCAAGGAUCAAACCAGAAAAUGCGCUAAACUCAAGGGAUCCAAUUACAGCUCGUCCGGGGGCUUGAUUAAACAAUUGUCAAAAUAACCAAGGACUGAAUCGAAAAUAUCCAUUUGAAAUUUUGAAACGGCGCCGUUUUCCUUAAAGAGCCACUAUUCAUUGUCUCCUUCAAAUAAAGCCGUUUUCAGUAGUAAAACAGGGAUACAUUUUGCAUCAAAUUGCUCCAAUUAUGGGGCACGUUUUAUGGCGUCUAUCCCGUUACAUGCAGAUUACAAGCCGGCUGUUACCAGCACAAGGCUGUCUCUGGCCUAUAAAAGCAGGAGAAGAAGAUAGAAAUGAGGAGGAAAGAAGAGGAAAAAAAAGGGUGGCAGAAAAACCAGGGGAGGAGAGCAGAACAAAGGCAGAAGGACUGGAGGGAGAACGAGACAGUGAGGAGAAAAAAAAGGAAGGGGAAGAAGGGAGAAAACAGAGAGAGUGACCGUGGUGGAAAAACGGAGACAGCAAGAGGGCAGAACAGAGAAGGAAAAGCAACGAGAGAUGAAAGGAAAAGCAGAGGAGGAGAGAAAAAAAGAACACAGGGGAAAGGAGAUGAGGAGGACGCAGACACACCAGAAAAAAGAACAGGGAGAAUAAAGAAAGGAGACAGAGGGAUGCGCACUGGGUAGCACAGGGAGUAGGAAGUAGGGGAGAGGGACUGUUGAACCUCUUUCAAAACCGCAGGAUCCGUGAUCAAGCUCAGACGAAUUGGAAAAAAAACACGAAUACCAGUAGCAAGGAAAAACAGACGAAGAGGAAGAACCAGAGGAAAAGCAAACAAAACAGGGAAGAUAUAAAUCCAAAAUAUGUUGCUGUCUUCGUCUUGCUUCCAGGUAACUCCAACUUGGCAAAAUAAUGCACAAAACACUGUGCACUUGGAAUUUAAUUACAUGUUGGCUGUAACAAGCGUGCUUGACUUAUUCACGCACGCUGGCGGGUAGGAUCCAGCGGGGUCACUGGUCUGCUAGGCCUGUUGGGUCCAGCCCAGCCACAUGGCCCGAGUUGGACCCAGCUAAAAAAAAAAUUUCCAAAAUUAUUUUUAAAAAAUUGUGAUUUUCUUGUAUAUUGUUUACUGCAUUUUGAUCAAUAUUGGUUUGUAUUUUUAUGCUAUAAAGAUACAAAUCCGGUAUUAAAUACCUGGUUUUUCGUCAAAAUACAAAAAAGUAAAAAAAUAUAUAUUUUGUUUUCAUGCAUACGGCCAAGUAUCUUAAAGAAAAAAAAAUCAUAUUUUCAUACAAAAAAAAAAAAAAAAGGUUUUAGCAUGCAUUUUGGCUUUAAUAAUUUAUUAAAGUUACAAGAAUUAGGCCAAUAUUUCAAAAUUUUCAAAAAACUUAUUUUGUUUUUUUUAAUAUCUAGGAUUACGAUCUUAUAUCUAAGAUAUAUUCCGGAUAUUAAAUUCUUUUGUUGACGAUAGAACGAUUAGGUUUCACUCAAUAAGAUAAGAGUCUCUUUACCAAAGAGAACUUUUUUUAAACCAUAAAUAGACCAACUGAUCAAAAUACUAAGUGGCGACUCCCAUUUUAUUUUCCACUAAUAAAAUACAAGAAUUCUUUGUCUCCUCACAUUUGCUACAUUUAGACAAUUGAUUUUAAGGGGGGAUGUUUUCGCUGCGACGCCGCACACGUGCGACAAAAAAAUUAACAUCACAAUCACAACCCUCAUCACCAUGCAAAACAAUCCACCUAUCAUUUCAUAAGUAACCUCAGGUAUACAUUAACCUAUCCUUCCUCACAUUGAUACAAAACCUAUAUUUUAUACCUCCCAAUGCAAUAAUAAAUUUGAUACUAGAUGAAUUGAAACAUCAUGCAUGCAUAAAUAAUUCUAAAUUAUUACAAUUAUAAGUUUAUAUACAAAUAUUUCUAAUUUAUGAAAUUUAUAAAUUUACUAAAAGUAAUCCCAAAUCAUAUUAAAAGGAAGAUCUAUCAAUUCAAAUAUGCAAACAAAUUGAGUAAUAUGCAACUAAUAUUAAUAUUAGGGAAAUUCAACAAUUGUUCCCAAUACACCAUCAUUAAAACACAAUUCUUUUUAUUUUCUUUUUGGCCUUUUCUUGACUAUACUACCUAUUUCCUUAACUUUUCAUUUGUAAUUCUUUGCAAACAAGCCCUUACUCUUACACAUAAUUAUGAUACUUCACACUAAUAACUUUAUAUCAUGUAGUAUAUUGGAUUAUCAAAGUUAUGGCCUAACCAUGCAAUUAGCUUAGUUCUUUUUGAUAUCUUUGAUGUCCCUUCCUAAAAUCAUCCAAAAGACAUUUGAUAUGUAGAGUCCUACUUAAAUGACCAACUCAUAAACACUAGAUCCAUAGUCCCCACUCAUGUUGUUAGCUUAUCAAUUCUUGACAAGUAAUCCCUAUUUAUAUGGUCGGUUUAUCAAUUAAUUUUAUAUAUCUUAGAUAUAUUUUAUUUUUUUUAGAUGCAAACACAAUAACAAGAAGUUUAAAAGUAACAUUGUUUUAAAUAAAAGUAAGGUGGAGACCAUCUAUUUGCUCUUUCAGAUGAUCUAGCUAUUUAUAUUGAGGAUCAAACCACUGAUACCUCUUUUUAUAAAAAGAAAGAUUCAAACAUUCAUAUUUAUGCUAUUAUUGUUCAAUUCAUAACAAGACAUUUCAUUAUACCCUAAUUUCUACACCUUUCAAUAAUUAGUCCAUUUCUUAUUUCCAUUAUCUUAUAUAUUAAUUUCCUUGUUUUACAAUAAUACACAAUAUUAGCAAUAAUAUUUACUAGCAUCAUUUUUCUUUUAACUUAUUUUAUUUGAUACAUUCCCGAUCUUAUAACUUAGUCAAAUAUUUAAUUUUAUUUAAUAUGCUAAUAUUUUCCGCAUUGCAUUGCAUAUACAACCUUUCAAAAUUCACAACUUACCACUUAAUUUCCAUAACUACCUUGAAAUUUCUAAACACACAAAGUCAACAUAAUAUAUUUUAAUGAGUGUGCAUGCACUCAAGAAUUUUUAUUAAUAUCAAUUUUAAUUUUAAUUCUUAUUCUUUUAAUUUUUUUUUACAAUAAUUAAAAAUUAAAUUAUACAAAGUUAUCCUACCAUUUAAUAUGCAAACAACAUCCGAUACAAUGGACACAUAAUAAUAUACAAUAUGAAAAGUAUGAAGGCAAUGAAAAUAUAACUUAUAAGAUCUAAAUUGUACAUUAUCAUUGUUCACUAACAUCCAAGCUGUAAAAUCUUAACAAUCAUCUAAUCAUUAUCAGCUAAUAUUCUUUUAGCUUGAUAACUUUUUUUUUAUUGUGUUCAAGGAGUCUGUCCUUUUUUAUAAAUCAUGUAUAUAAAUUUGUUGGUUCUCCAGCCAUGUAUAUUUUUUUUAUUUGAUAUAUAUACUUACUUUUGAUUAAAAAAAACACAAUCUAAAAAAUUAAAUAAAAAAAAUUAUAACACAACAUAAACAAGGGAUAAUUGCAUUAACAGUACAUGAAUUUUAUUUUAUUUUUGUUUAUAUACACCAACUUAAGUAAUCAAGCACUUUCAUCCAAACUCUGUUAGUUCCUUUUUUGUUUACGUGUACUUUGGUAUUUAUUAAAAAAAAAUUGCAACAUUGAUAUACCAACUUUCAGUUUUCAUCAGUCAAGUAAAUAAAUUUUUUUUUUCCAUUAAAGUACACCAUUUUAAAAAAAUCUCAUACAAAAACAAGCUGAUUCCUUCUUUAAAUUUAAUUUUAUUAAAAAUAUUCAUAAUAUCCAUCCCCAUAAAUCGGGAGUAAUAAUCACUGGCCAGGAAGAGUGCCUUGGGCUCUGAAUUCUCACAACCACGGAGAUAGCUUUCAGAGACCGUUUACAUAUCUAGAAUUAUAAAUCCAUAACCAUACCAAGAUGGAUGGUAAGCAACAAAACGUUGUGUAGACGUCUAAAUAUUGAUCCUCUGUAUCAUCAUUAUAUGAUUACAAACGGAGCUCCGAGCAUGUCUUUGGCUUUUUUCAAAUUAAAGACGAGGUUUCCCUGAGGUUUAAACUUACGGACUUGGGAUUGAUGAGGUAAAGAUCAGGGGCAGAUGUAGAGGAAUUUCCAAUCCAUGAUUUAUCUGAUGGAGGAAAGAGGUCUUGU
This 54759-nucleotide long non-coding RNA is filed under the name Populus tremula. Its description in RNAcentral is "long non-coding RNA (PTRE_LNC000618)". The record is from RNAcentral. Lineage: Eukaryota; Viridiplantae; Streptophyta; Magnoliopsida; Malpighiales; Salicaceae.